Molecule: long non-coding RNA, 59182 nt
Filed under: Triticum aestivum (bread wheat)
Lineage: Eukaryota; Viridiplantae; Streptophyta; Magnoliopsida; Poales; Poaceae
Description: long non-coding RNA (TAES_LNC018218)
Rfam family: MIR1120/MIR1122 microRNA precursor family (bases 5904-5990)
Source: RNAcentral
UUGGCCCAGGCAUCACAUUUGAAGGAAUGCUAGUUCGGGGCAUUAACUGAAAUUGAAGGAGAUCCAAGUAGGUUACUACCAGAUACAUGGAAAGAUCAAAAACAAGCUUUAUAUGGCACAGUAGCAUUUCACAAUUAUAAUUAUACAGUGUAAGGAUAGCAAUUCGCGGCUAUAAUUAUAUACUGUAAGAAUAUCAUAAGCAUAGCGUCUUGAUGAUUUCUGUUCACUACAUACUCAGCACUUUGUAAUUUUAUGCUUUAUGCUAUCAAUUAUCAAACAAUGUCAGUUACUCGAGUUUGUUCCCAAGACUGUAUAAGCUGUUAUUUUUUUAAUCUGUGCUGGUUGUACAAUGUACAAGUGUAUGAGCAAACUAAUACUGGUACUACCUUCCUCUCAGAAGGAAAAAGAAGCAGAACAACUGAGGCUUGAAACAUACCAUUAUAUAAAACUAUUCUGAAUUAUACUAAACAAACGGUUACAGUGAUAGAUAGUAGAUAGUAUCAAGAUCCCCUUAGCACUUUAACAAAUGUAAUAUCUUUUUAAGUAUUGCCAAAAGGCAACAAAAUAGAAGAAGCUCUUGCAGAAAAGGGAUUAUGAAAUGGCACUGACCAUUCUGCCUUAUAGAGACAUUACACUCUGAUCUAACUAUUGGACCUUGAAAGAUAGGCCCAUGAUAACAUGAAGACAAUACUAGAACCCAUGUGAAUGCCCUUCUUCUUCAUCAACGUUAUUCAAAGGCCAAAACACUUGAAUAAAUCAGAACUGACUUGCAUGCCUCCAACAAAUCAUGGAUCUGAACUUGGUGCUCCCUCUUCAAGAGAUAAUUCACCAGCAAUCUUCUCCCAAGCAACUUUAGCAUCCCCUUUCACAAGAAAGCUCAUCUUAGCAACAACACCCUUGGCCUCUGCAGACCUCCCUCCCUUGACCAACCCCUCGACUAAACCCUUGACAGCCUCAAAUGAUGGGGCUGCCUUCAUUGCAAAGCAGCUGUUACAAAGCCACAGUGCAUCAUCAAGCCUUUCCUUCUCUACCAAACUCUUAAACAGCAGGACAUAUGUCUGCGAGUGCACCGACACUCCCAAGUCACUCCUCCCCUCCCGCCUCUUCAUCACCUUCAUCCUCUUGAAUACUCGCAUGGCGGCCCCGGCAUUCCCCUCCUUGCAGUACCCCUGCACAAGCGCAUUGUAAGUAACGUAAUUGGGCAGCACGCCUUUUGACUCCAUCACAUCGAGCAGCUCCUCGCCCUUGAAGGUUUCCCCCUUCCUUGCAAACCACCGCAUCCGGCAAUUGUAUGUGACGACAUUAGGCUCCAGCUUGUUCUCAUUGAUUUCCUUGAGCAGCUUCUCAAACUCCUCGGCAUCGUCCUGCUCGGAGAACCCAGCGAGGAGAGUAUUGUAGGAUAUGAUGUCCGCGGGCGGGCGAUGCUUAAACUUCUUCUUGGCCAUUUCGUUGAGCAGCUUGCGGGCAGCGGGUAGCUCAGAGCUCUUGACCAGAGCGUGGAGGAGCACGUUGUGGGAGGCGCGGCCAGGGGCGACGCCGAGCGAGGACUCGGCGGAUUUGAAGGUUGACUUGAGGUCGUCGAUGCGGCCCGCGCGUAGAAGCGCGGAGAGGAGGGCGGAGAGUGAGACAUCGGAGCGGGCGGCGGGGGCGGAGGAGGAGAAGGCACGGACGGCGUCGUCCGGGCCCGGGAAGAGGGAGAGGGCGCGCGCGAGGAGGCCGGGGGAGACCGGGGCGGAGGCGAGGAGCUGGUCGAGGAGGGAGGCGGCGAGGUCGGGGCGGUGGAGGCGGUCGAGGCGGGAGGCGGCGAGGGAGAAGAGGUCGCGCGAGGUGUGGAGGCGGUGGNNNNNNNNNNNNNNNNNNNNNNNNNNNNNNNNNNNNNNNNNNNNNNNNNNNNNNNNNNNNNNNNNNNNNNNNNNNNNNNNNNNNNNNNNNNNNNNNNNNNNNNNNNNNNNNNNNNNNNNNNNNNNNNNNNNNNNNNNNNNNNNNNNNNNNNNNNNNNNNNNNNNNNNNNNNNNNNNNNNNNNNNNNNNNNNNNNNNNNNNNNNNNNNNNNNNNNNNNNNNNNNNNNNNNNNNNNNNNNNNNNNNNNNNNNNNNNNNNNNNNNNNNNNNNNNNNNNNNNNNNNNNNNNNNNNNNNNNNNNNNNNNNNNNNNNNNNNNNNNNNNNNNNNNNNNNNNNNNNNNNNNNNNNNNNNNNNNNNNNNNNNNNNNNNNNNNNNNNNNNNNNNNNNNNNNNNNNNNNNNNNNNNAGAGGCGGCGGAGGAGGUGGGCGGAGACGGCGGAGGGGUGGGGGUGGCGGCGGCGCAGGAGGGACGCCAUGGUGAUUGGUGAGUGAGCACGGGGUUUGCGAGGGUUUGGGCCUUGCGUUUGAGGGGACUUCCCCUUUCUGCUGCGGAAGCUUGCACAACUGCUCUACAGUCUGCCUGCAGCACUAGUCCAUUUCACCCAAAAAAAAACUAUGAAGGCCUCAUACCAUUUUGGUUAACCUGAAAUUGUUUUAAAAAAACCUAAAAUUGAACUUAAAUAAGAACCGUAUUAGAUUGAUCGUCGUUGUUUUAAAUCCGAGCAGCAGGGUUAUGAAUUUCAGAUGUUUUGACAGCCGACGAUCCGUUCCAUUUCGCGCAUAAAUCAGUGAUUGGUAGAGUGUUUUUUCUGUUCAAAAUGAUAUUUGGAACAAAGGAAUAGCUCAUAAUGGGGGUUUUUAAUUACUUUAUUAUUUGUUUAGUUGCUAAUUGUGUGCUUAUUUAAAAUUUCUAUUAGAUGAGCUAUUGUUCGACCAAAAUGUUCGAGGAAUACAAACAUGAGAAUGAGAUCAUGCCACCCCAUGGGCAUUUUCUGAAGUUGGUGCAUAUUUCUUCUCUCUUCAUAUGGUUUUAUGAAUUCAAGUGUGAAGUAAAAAACACCUUCCUCGCCGUUUUUUGUUUUGAAACUCCUCGCUGCUCUUGCUCUAUGCUUCGUUUGUAUGGUGCAGGUACAUGGUUACAGGUGAAGUCUGCUGGCAAGAGCAGGCCAACACUUUGCUUCAAGUGAAACAAAAUAGCACAUUAACAUGGCAUUCUUUUUGGAAGACAACUCGAUGUAUUUCAUCAACUUUAGAAAAUUUAUUCUUUCACAACAAAAGAACUGAAGAUAUCCAUAUCGCAACAGCCAACAAUGUGACAUGGCAGCAUAAAAUGGCACCAGGAAGGGGGUUGCGGAACAGUUGAGUUCUUGCUAUCAAAACUGGUGAUGAUAACUCAAGGCCAUUUUGUUACACAGACAAGGGGUCCUGAACAACCCAAGAGGAAUAACCAGGGAGGUACACAAGUGGAUGUUUCUAAAAGUUACCUCCGCCUCGGCGGAUCAGAGGACCUGCGUUGUUGUCGUUGUUGUCUGGCAUCGGUAUCCGGUUUCUCUGUGUCCGGCUGUUUGAGCUUUCUCACCAUAUCAUCCGCAUAUCGCCACCACAUUGACUCUCGAUCUUUGCUUGCCACUUUGCUGUACCUUGGAUCAGAUCUUAGAAGGUCUUUUGCUUCGCUCCAAGAGAUAACCACAGUCUUUCCUCCUUCCGUCGUCCGAGUUGCUGCGUCUGGGGCAAUCGCCUCAGACAGAAGUGCCUUGAAGUCACGGACACAACGCUGCAGGGAAAUUAUAGGAACAUCAGGUCAGGUCAAAAGCAUACCAUAAUUUAAGCAUGCAAGCUCAGAUGAUACAUAUCGCGGCCAAAAUGCUACCACGUCUGCUUAAACAAAGAGGAUAUAUUGAAGUACUCCCUCCGUUCCAACAUAGAUGACUCAACUUUGUACUAACUACGGAGGGAGUAGCAGUGACCCAAGCAUUGAAGCUCAAACAUAAAUACAUGAGAUAAUUCCAUCCAUAAAGACUUCCAUACAAUAGUUCAUGUGAAUCUGCUGAAUAUUUUGGCAAAUUCCUCUGUCAAAGAAAAUGAUUGGAACAGGCCAACAGGCUCAGAGAGCCCAAGAAGCAGACCCAAUAAGCAAGCAGCUAGCACACCAGAGAGUUAGAAUUUUUAUUACAGUAGCUACAAAGGACCACCAUAGUAGGAAUAUACCUCAUAUAAGUCCUUGACAUGUUCACGGAAUAACUUCUCGGCCUCACCUUGGCCUAAGUCCGGAUUUACAGCACGACCUUGCGGAUCCUUCUCAAGUUUUCGUUUGGAUUCAGCCCAUGAUGCCUAUGGAACAAAAACAACAUAGUAUGUCAGUUUAUAUUUUGCAAAGAGGCAACAUGCCAAUAAUCAAAAGUGAGUGUAUCCUAAUAUAUCAAAAGGAACUCACUAAGGAGCAAAAGAAACAGAUCGGCUGAACGUAAAAAAAGUACUAUGACAAGUACUCCCUCUGUAACGAAAUAUAAGAGCAUUUAGAUCACCAAAGUAGUGGUGAUCUAAAUGCUCUUAUAUUUCUUUACAGAGGGAGCACUUAAGACCAAGAAGCAUGUGCAGUUAAAUAAAGAAUAAAUAAGUCAACCAAAUCACCUUUGGAUCUUUUAUAGUUUCAACAAGCAAAGCCUGAUACGAAGAUGUGGCAUCUUUUCUUCGGAUCUUCAAUUUUACUCUCUCCAUUUCCUGCUCUUCCCUUUCUUUCCUUUUGCGAGCUUCGCGUUCCCUUUCCCUUAAUUUGGCCUAACAAUGCAUACCACAGUAUGUGUGAAACCACACGCGAUAAAUAAAGCAUCGUACAGUUCAUCAGCUAAGUUGACAUACUUGUUCAUCCACUUUGGCCUUUGCAGCUUGCUCCACUUCCCGUUCAGCGGAUUUAAGUUCUGCUAUGUAUUCAUUAAAAGCAUUCUCUCUCUCUUCGUGCUUUACAGCUUUGUACCUUGGAUCACUCCGGAAAUUUUCUUUCACCUGUAUGCAGUAGUACAAUCCAUUAAAGAAAUGACAGAUCAAAAUUACAUAAAAUUGACAGAUCAAAAUCACAUACUCCUACAACACUAUACAAGUUUGACCCAAGUAAACAAUCGGCUGUUUUAUAUGAAGUUCAGAAGGGAAGGGACUGUUGUAGGGUCACAAUUGGUUCACACCAGCUAAACACAGUGAUGUCAUGCCAUGUCAAUGUAAACGCCGGAAAGAUGAAACCUGUCCAUGUGAAGAUAUAUGGCUAACGUAUGAAACAGACGAUCAUACUUCGGUAAAGCACAUCCAGAUGAUUACCGGUUAGUGGCAACUAGAAAACAGGCAUCAAAAUGGCAACUUUAAAUCACAAACUUUCACUAGACAAUACGGCUCCCUAUGUCAGAGCCUCAGAGGCAGCUGUUUGACUUGGUCUAUUGCUAAGUUUCAACUUUCCAGAAGAAAUGGGCAAAUCGACAAGUUACACAAAUCGUGUUACAAAAUAUCAUGAGUACACAAUAAUUUAAGUUUCACAAUAGGAGAACGAACCCAUUACUGCUGUCAAUAUUAGAAGAUAACAAAAUGAAAUAAUCUCUCUUUAAUCUAAAAUUGAUUCCUCGUCCUGGAUCCAACUCAAAAAAUCCUGGAUCCACGUCAUUCCAAACAUAGCCAACUACCGUCUCCACUGGAACUGCCGUGUCACUCCACUAACUAUCGCGUCUAAUCAUGUGCUAAACCCUCAAGCCGCCGCUUCACACCAUACUGCCUAUACCUCUCACUGUUCUUUUGUUUCACAAACAAGGAGCAACACUCAAAUUUUCGUUGACGGUUCAUCGAUCUGCAGCUGCCACUUCUGUCAAUAUUGGAAGCCUUUGGGGCCGCGUGCGUAGGGUAGCACAGGGAAGAGCGUCCAAGCGGCGAUAGACACAGAGAAAGCCGUGCACAUCUGUGCCUGGUUGUAGAUGCCUUCAGAUGCAAAGCCUGACCCUGCGCUGCCGGCAAGUAACCCAAGGAAGGAAGAUGGGGUAUAUUACGAAGAUGGGCGGUUGUUCAAAAAUGAUGCAUUGUUAAACAUUACUCCCUCCGUCCCAUAAUAUAGGACGUUUUUUUAUACUAGUGUAGUGUCAAAAAACGUCUUACAUUAUGGGACGGAGGGAGUACUAUUUGGUUUCUGCCAGAAUUCAUCACAUCUUGAUGAAGCAAUUUUCUAGCCCCCAACCAACAUUCCCUUUACGAGGGACUGAUUGAGCCUAUGCAGUGUUCGCCGUACAGCCUUAUUGAUUGUGUUCAAGUCAUAUCUCUAAUCCAAAUAUGCGAACGUGUACUGUGCAACUUAUGAGCAAAUGCUUUGAUUUAGGCAUAUUAUAUUAUUAUAACAUACCCAUCUCUCAAAUUGCUUACUGACCAGUCGCUGCCUCAAGGAAAACACGGGAAUAAGACUAUCUUCACACAGAGAAGAAAGAUAAUAAUAUAGACUAUCUUCAUCACCAUAACGCAUUUUUUUCUUAGUGUGGUAAAAGAAGAAAAAAUGAUGAGAGCACAAAAUAACUGACUUAUUUUAUUGCAAUACAAAUACAAAUGUCUAUACUAAUCUGUAAGUGCACGUAACAGAAUAUCAAUAUAUCAUCACAAGGCAGAUUAUCAUAUUUUACAUAAAUCAGAUGUGCCUUCUUUGUCAUUUAAUCUUGACACGAGAUAUGUAGUGAAAUGAGUACAAGGAACUUACUUUGGUCCAACGGCUAGUUGGGAUUAUAUCUUUACAUUCUCGAAGCAUUGAUUUGAAGUCAGUUAUGACAGCAUUUCGCGCUGAUUGAACUUUCUCUUCAAGAGCCCUCACCCUGCUCAAACAUUUGAAAAUGUGUCAAGUAAAUGUUGAUAACCCAAUGAUUUGAUUCGAAAGACGAAACUGAAAUUCAAUAACAUUAAUAUAAAAGUAGGUGGCCAUACUUCUCCUUGAAAAGAGCCUCCCUUUCUUUUUUAUCCAAGGCUGCAAAUCUUGGGUCAGCACCCCAUUUUCUUUCGAAAUCCUGGUAACCUGUUUUCGAAUCAAUGCCCUGCAAUUUAUGUAUUAAGGCAUGACAUUCAAGAAAGCAGCAGUUGCAAAAAUAAGCAGCCAUCGGAUGCCCUAAUUUAAAGGAAAACCUCAACUUGUAAAAUGAAUUAAUAGCAAUUAGUGAACCUCAGAUGCUUCUUCUAAUAGCUGUUUAUAUGCCUCAACGGCAGCCUUCUGAGCAGCUCUCUUCUCUUUUCGUUCCUCGUCAGCACGUGUCCGAACAAAGUGGUCAAAUAUAGCCCGUCUAGUCGAGUGACUUGGAAUAGCCUGUAGUGGGGCAAUCUACAGUUAGUAUCAUUCGAAUAUAGAAUUACUGCUGUAAAGCUAAUAGUAGCAGCAGGCAAACCAAAAGAAAAUAUAUUGUACUCCCCCCGUUCCAUAAUUCGUGUCGGACUAAAACCACGACAAGAAUUAUGGAACAGAGGGAGCGCCUUACUACAGUAAUAAGCAUUAUAAGUAAGUUUCAUGUACUCCCUCCGGUCCUUUUUAGUUCGCAUAUAAGAUUUGUCCGAAGUCAAGCCUCGUAAAGUUUGACCAACUUUAUAGAAAAAAAUACCAACAUUCACAAUAUGAAAUCAAUAUCAAUAGAUGUGUGAUGACUUAUAUUUUCAUUUUGUAUAACUUUAGCAUGGUAGAUGUUGAUAUUGUUUCAUAUAAAUAUGGUCAAACUUUAUGAAGUUUGACUUCAGACAAUUCUUAUAUGCAGAAUAAAAAGGACCGGAGGGAGUAAUUCAUGUAUGACAAGUAAUCACUACUUCUACUUAAGCAGGAAGAAAUACAAUUUAGGGCCUACUUUGGAAAAGGGCAAAUUUAGUAUGAUCCUUUCUGAACAUACAGUGUAGCGAUCAGCUAAUCAUAAUUGAUGUACUCCAACAUGAGGUUUUGCUUGGAGCCUUGGAUACAACAUAACCAGGAUUAGAAAAACAGAGCAUAAAUGGGCAGUUUGGCAUUUGCUAUGCUGUGCAGCAUUGAGCUGCUGAAUUUAGUUACUUAUGCAGAAUCUUUCCUGAUUCGAGUAAACUUAUUGUUAUGGCUCUAAAGAAGAGGUUACCACAACCAAAAGUAGUAACACAGAAGCUACUUAAUGAUAAACCAGAACCACAAGCACAGAGAACACAGAUUCUCUAAAUGAGUAAUCGCUGUAAUUUGAACACAGAUCACAAUGAACUAGGUUCGUCAGUUUUUUUCCAGUUAGAAGAACAGGAGUUAGCCUCGAACAGCAGAUACUUAUAAGGACACUUUAGAGUUUACCUUUAACUGCAAUCACAGUAAAUCUACAGACAUAACCACCAAUUACAGUAUCAAUUCAAUUACAGAAAGAAAGCACUGACUUUGCAUCAUUGGAACUUGAACCAAGUUGGAUAGCUACGGUUAUUUAUUUUGUUAGGAUUAGGAAACUAUAUCACUGCCUUGAAAGGGGAACACCUGGUGCAGAAGGAACAAAGAAACAAAAAGAUCCUUGAGAUCAUUGGUCAGCAUUCACUUUGUUAUCCUUGUGACAAAUGAUAAGUCAAGAUAUGUUCAGGCUCGCUCUGGUCUUCGGCCAAGAAUAAACAGAAAAGCAUAUAAACGGUUAGGUGUGUCAUUCUCAAUAUUCAGUCAUGCAGAAAAUCCAACAGUCCAUUUAAAAGUUUCUAGUAUUUCAAUGAAAACCAUCUGAAUCAAAACUUCUCUUUGUGCACUAUGCGGGAGCUCUCCUCUUUCAUACUACUAUAGCACUCGGCAAUCAGAACUCUACGCAUAAACUACUUGGAAGAAAGAUAAUGCACCCAUACAAGUAGAAAUCAACUAUGAAAAAUCCUACAUGGAGAGGGAGUGUCCCUGUUGGCCACAAAUGAUAGUAUGGAAGCAGGAGUACGGUCACAAACUUGGCAAACCUUAAAGAUCUCAUGAAAGGCUAUAAUGACCAAUUUCACAAACCUUAAAUCGUGAAUCGAAUACUAUUUUUGGCAGUUCCUUCUCCCACUUUGAAAAUGGUGCUACUCCUCGUUCCUUUAGCAUUUUCUGUGAAAGUUAAAAAUGCAUCCAUGUCAUGUUAUUACUUCACAGCACCAACAAGAAUCAGCAAGUUUCAUAAAUAAACAAUUUGCAUUCAGUUAUCUUGGUUCCGAAUAACAUAAAGUAGACAAAAUUUCGCCUUGCCAAAAACAUGAAAUAGCAUAUGGUUACAUAAUACAAACGAAUUGAAAAGGCAUCAAAGUUCAUUGUCUUAAACUAGCAUUUCAGGGAAAACCAAAUCUUGUGGAGGAGAAAAAAGCUCCCUCGACAUCUAUUCUGAAAUUCAAAAUAACAUCAUGAAAAUUACCUUAAACUCACGAAUACAAUCCUCUUUACUUGGUCCAUGUUCCUCAUCAUCUGAAUCUGAAGAGGAAUCUGACAUAUUUUCAUUGCCAUUGUUAUCCUUUGAUUUCUCACCAUUUUUUGAACCUUGCUGUUCCUUAGGUGCACCAUCAGCUGGUUUAGAUCCAUUCAACUCGGAUGCACUAGAUGAAGGAGUAGCAAGAGGAGAGGACACACUGAAAGCACCAGCGUCCUGCAAUUUCUUCUUUAUCAAAUCCAAAGCAGAAGGCGAUGCAGGGGCAACUGUUUGCCGAAGCGGCAACGAAUCACGGCCACCUGUCUGUAUGGCAGGAGUACUUAUUUCACCACUCGCCUCUCCCUUAUUUGCUACUGUGCCAGCAUCCUGCAGUGAAGUUGAACUUCCUUUCAAGUUGCCAGAAUCAGCAUUCUUGUUGAGUUCAGCCACCUCUGGCGGAAGUUGCCAGCUGCUAACCUGUUCAGCAUCAGAAUUAAGCCAUAUACUAUUAGCAAAUUCAUGCGAUACUGGAAGGCUACCCCACUAACCCAAUGUAGUAUAUGUGCUGAGCUUCAAAACCAUCAUCAAGCACAUACCUUUUGUUUAUUGUCGUAGUAAUAUUUCUUUCCAUCACUUGUAGUUACUAUGCUCCAGUCUGUGCCAGCAAUUUUGUCCCUGACAAAGUGAAAAAAUGUAAGGUCCGUGAAACACUAUUUGUGGGCAUGCACAGAAAAACAAAUUGGCAUGUUUAUUCAGGUGAAGAGCAAAAGACCAAAGAGGAUAAAAACAUUCAUAACAAUGGCAGCUUCCAGAAAUUUACAUGCAUGUUUGGAACACGCUAGAAAGCCAUUCAAUUAUUACAGGAGUCUGCAAAAAUUCAUAUAUUCCUUGCAGGGCCUACAUAGGGUUGGUCCUGACAUGCAGAAGUGCAUUUAUGACAAUAUCUUAGAUGGGUAGUAUGGUACCAGAUAUGGACAGGGUGCAUGGAAGCUUUGCUAUCCAUGUGCCAGAACCAUGAGUUGGUUGCGAGAUCUUAUGGGUUCCACCUCUAGCCUACCCCAACUUGUUUGGGACUAAAGGCUUUGUUGUUGUUGUUGUUGGGUAGUAUGUUACCAAUCUAGAUGGACAGGAAAAGUUGUUCAACAACAUCUCAAACAUUGAUAUUUCGCUGGAUAAUACUGCAAUCAUAUUGAGCUGGAAUACAACAAAUAAAACAUGUGAAAUCAUGCCAGAUAAUACAAGAAAACUAAAUAUCCUGCCUUGUGGCACCAAUAUCAAAAUGUAAACAAGAGCAGGCCGUUCUUUUACACUACUCAUAAUUGCAUUUUGUGGUUUAUACUUUAUACUCCCUCCGUCCGGAAUUACUUGUCGUAUAAAUGGAUGAAAAUGGAUGUAUCUAGAAUUAAAAUACAUCUAGAUACAUUCAUUUCAACGACAAGUAUUUCCGGACGGGGGGAGUACUAUUUACCGAUCAUCCAACAUUUAACAAGACCUUAUAAUUAGUUGCUGUGCACAUUAUCAUCCACAGGAAAUUGUAGGUACAAGAUGUUUCGUAAAACGCCUAAGAGUAUAGAAGUGGGACUGAUCAAAUUCAAGAAGGUUCUUACAACCCUCAUAUGCCAACAUAAAAUUAGCCGAAGUAGCACAGGGUAAAAUGAGCAGUUGCACGACAUACCAAGAAGCUGGAACUGGUUGAGCUGCAACCUUCUCGAGCUAUAGCAGAACAGGAAAAAUGAGUUAGUUACAUUGUGGUGCUAAAUUGCCAUGUCACAGACUAGAAUGAAGUUAUAUUACUUGAUAAAGCUAUUCUUCGUGCAACUACCUCCCCCUUAUAACCAGGUGGUCUUUGAUAAGUUGAUUCCCCUGUCAAGGCAUUGUAAUAAUAUAGAACACCGGCUUCUGUUUUGUGUGCAGACCAUGUAUCUGAAUCCUGAACUCCGGCCGUACUUCUGUCCUCCAGCCCUUCAGCAUUCCACAUAAAUCAUAAGAACUGGAGAAUUAACAGGAACACCAAGACUCAACACGAACAUCAGCUCCAGUAAAAAGAAUACCUGUUGGAUGUUGUUCAACUGAAGUAUGAAUGGACUGCACAGAUCCUGGAUUUACGGAUGGUUGUUCUUUGGGAUCACCAGUUGUAAUGCCUGGUGGUUGGAUGUUGGGCAAGGAUGUAGUCACAGAAGAAGUUCCAACCAUUGGUGCACCAAGAGGUCCAAGAGAGCCCGGUGGAUAUGAAUGGAAGGGAGCCUGCUGAAAGCCAGUAGGUUGUGGAGGAUAUCCCCAUAAAGGUUGAGGUGGAUUACCAGGCGCUGAAGGAUAGGAUGGAUAAAACUGUUGCUGAGUUGCCCGUGGAACAGCACCUGGUGCAGCACCUGAUGGCGAUGUUUGAGGCAAAGAUGGGGCUGGACCUGUAGGCCUCUGAAGGAGGCUUGGUGGAGUUGACAAGUUUGAAGGACGUUGUCCAGGUGCAGAACCCCCAACAGCCCCAAAUCCCUCAGGACGAGGUGGCAGUGACUGCACUGUAUGGGGACUUACCUCUGGGGCACUUGGGGCAUCCGACUUGGAAGCACCAACAUCCAGGUUACCCUGUAAUAAUUCAAAAAAAUAUUAGUGCCUCAUUGACAAGAUUCAAGCAUAUGGGAGCAAGCCAAUCGAAGCAUGCAGUGCUAAAAAAAAGCUGGAGGGCUCAGGGGUCAGGACUGUGCCUGUUGUGGGUUUGCACCAUAAAGAAUAUUGGGCGUCCUAGGUGGCACUGGAAAUGGCAACCGAAUAGAUGCAGGAGGAUUUGGUGCCAUAGGUCCAGGGAAUGGUGCACCUAGGCGAGGCAAUUGCCCAGGAGCAGGAGGUUGCAAGGAUGCUGGUGGAGCAAACAUAGGGACUUGGACAGCAUGGUUUGUCCUCUGAAAGAAAAGGUGGCAUUAAAUGUUAGUGCGUUACAGAAGAGGAUCGGUUCAUUAAAAACUAAUAACAAGAACAAUAGUAAUGCUAGUAAUAAUAAAGCCAUGAGAAAUUACAGUGUCAAGUUGAAACUGCUGACCAGUAGGCAGGCUAGCAUUGGCAUGUGAGACUACAUUAUAUGAGAAAGAAGGCCUGUUCCCAAAAUACUGCCGUGGAGCUGGUGGCUGGAGAGCCGCUGGAGGCAUUGGACGAGCCAUCGGAGCCUGGAAAGGGAGAAUGGUAAGAAUACUAGUUAUGAUAAUCUAACUUGAACAUCGUUGAGUUGCUUUGCAGCGAUCAUAAGUUUAGGUGUCAAUAGUCGAAUUUCUUUUACUCCUUUAUUAAAUGUUGCAGAAGCAGGAUGCAAAAGCCAUGUACGUUUAGUUCCAUUAAGAAUUUUCACUUGACUAAUCAUGAAGGCUAUAGAAAUGAAACAUGCAGCAGGUUUAUUACUGAUUGAAUAGGCUUCUAGGCAUUCAUAUGAAAAUUUUAGAAUUCUUUAUGCAAAGGUUCACGUCAGACGUCCGUGGACCGUGAUAGAGAAAGGUAACCUAUCUGUGUUUUCCGUCAGAUGAAAAAUCAAGCCAAAGAAUGUUUACCAAAUGAAGGUCAAAAACAGUGCAGCAGGCAUAACAUCAAAGUUUCAACAUAAUUAUGCAACAUAGUAACAUACACCUAAAAGAACAAUUUAUUUGACAAAAGCAUGAACUAGGCAUUCAUGUUGAAGCUAACAGAAACAAACAAAUUGUCGUUUUUUUAACCGGAGUGAUAUAUGACCCUCUUGGCAGGAGGACUAAAGUAGGAUUAUAUAUCAGUUUGAAAUUACUAAGUUCAGAGUGUCCCUACAUAAACAAUACAACGGACAGGCUUCUGCAAUCAAAAAUUGCAUCACAUGUCAGCGGCUCGGCACCUAUCAUCAGAACUAACCAAAAUAUAUUCCCCGGCAAUGAUAGCACCAUGUAUCCUUUGAACAAAAUUACAGCAUUGCAUAUGCGGAUCAUACAACAAAAUGCAUGAGAGAAAAAAAUUUCUUAAAUGAACGUCUGUUAAUAGUUAGGUUAAGCAUAUAAGUUGAAGAAAGGGAUAGGAUACUGAUACUCUACCGGAGCGGAAGCUAGCUGCUGGUGGGCCAAACCGCUGCCCAUAUGCUGCGGGGGCGGCGCCCUGGGCAGAACGUUGUAAGAGAACGCGGGCGCCGGAGACGACGCCGGAGGCGCCAUGUACGCCGGCGAGCCAGCGAACUGCGGCCGCGGCGGCCGCGGCCCUGGAGCGGCAGCCGAGGCAGGGGAAGCAGGCGGCGGUAGCACUGCGGCACUCGAGGUGGAGGUGGAGGUAGGAGUGGUAGCGGGCGGGGCAUCCCCAGCUGCCACCUCUUCCACCGCUGGGGCCGCCGCAACGGCGCCAAGAUCGGAUGCUUCCCCUGGUUCCGCCACUGGGGCAGCUUCCUCAGCCCGAGAUGGCUCAUGCUGCGGGUUGGCACCGUCGGAGGCGACCACCUCCGGCGUCGCCAUGGGAGUAGAGUGUGGCCUAGGGUUUUGUGAGGCGAACGGGGCCGGACGGGCGUCGCGAGAGAGAAGCAGCCAACGGAUGAAGAGAAAAUUAGACAGAGCGGAAUCUUUGAAUGGACCGUGGGUACCCGUAAUCAGGCUUGGGCUCGGCAGCACCUGAAAGGCCCACAAUCUUGCGCCAUGACCCUCCGCUAUCUAGGGUCCGUUUGGUUUUGUUUAGAAAAAACUAGGGUCCGUUUGGUUCGGGGGUUUGGUUUGGAUGGGUGUGGAUAUCCCCGCCUCACAAGGGAUAGCCUCUUUUUCCUUACGGAUCAACCAAUUGAUUAAUUAGUCGCGUCGUGAGCCAUCGGAUUCGUCCCUUCACAGACAUUGGAUCAGUCAAUGCAUGGCGCAUCGCCCUCAUCCCAUCACCUCUAGCCGCAUCGAAGCAAAAAAACAAGUGUAGCCGAAGGAAAGCAGUGUCACCCAGCUCAUAGGAACGGCAGCGCAACGAUCGUCAUUGUGGCGCCAACACUGGCUCAGCGGCGCUCCAUCACAGCCCGUCACAACAUCGACGAAAAGCCGGUGAUGCUUCAUUGCAGUGCCACACCGGCAUAACGGUGCUCAGCACCGACGGCUCGCCGCAGCUUCAUCGCAGUGACGGAAGUCGGCGGUGUUUCAUUGCACCUCCGACAAAGGAGCGGUGGUGCUCCCAUUGGUUGCAACAUUGAUGAGAUCGAGCACUCCCUAACUCCGGCGGACAUGCUCCCAACUCCACUACUCGGGGCUCACAGCACGCCUCCAUUCACAGCAAGGCUGUGAAGGCAAAAAAGACGGAAUCACGAGGCGAGGUAGAAGGAGAUGGAUUCAUGAUGGAAGAAAAAAAAUGUGAGGUGAGGACGAAGGUAGAAUAAAGGGGAAAGGGAAAAGCAUAAGGCGUGUGUGCAUUUGGGGCCCACGUGGGACAAACGUCGAUAGGACGAGGUGAUUUACGCGUUGUGUGGAUCAGCUGGUUCAUUUGAGCACUUUUCCUUUUUUGGUUGGUUGAGUAGGGUGAUAGGUGGUUGGAGAUAGCCAAGUAUGUGUUUGGUUUGAUGGAUGAGUGGUGGAUAAAAAAUGUGAAAAUAGUAACUGGUGAACGUUUGCCAAUGAGAAACUGUCAGUGAACGCCCUACUUGGCACACGAUCUUGAUCCUACGGUGCAAUUUGGAUGACUUUUUUACACUCAAAAUUAAAAAAAUGCCAUUGCAGUUUUGCGAACCACCCAAGUUCUCUAAAUACAUUGAAACUACCAGAGUAACGUUCGCAAAUGCCAUCUCUCGUGGCCAACGUUUAUCAGAUAUGCCAACCCUAAAAGUUAUGAUGAGCUUUUCUUAUUGAGGUUGUGAUAUUGCCAUAUAAGUGCAUCGCCAAGGCGGGCCCUCAAACCACCCACAUACAUCUAGGUCGCGUUGUCUGGACACGGUUUGCCAUCCAACGCGGGCCUGUAUAGGUCCACCGAGCGGCCUGGACGUACUUUUUCCAGCAAACCCGAGACAAACGUGGGGCCUUGCGGGAGUCCAGACAUGAGCCACGUAGGACUCUGACACCCCCGGCCCACCCAAAAACCCUUCCCGGACCCACGCCUCCAUCCUCCUCAUUUUCUCUCCUUUCUUUUUUCUCUCCUACCUUUGUCGCCGCUCCACCACCCCGGCCUCCACGCCACACCCCUGCGGGAACUUUACGUCUCCGUCAUCUCCAGCGUUCCAGCCGGGCUCUACCCCGCUUCUCCUAAGUAGUUGUUCAACUUCUCUCCUCUGACCGCCUCGCCAGGUACCAUCCACUACUGCUAUACUCACCAUGCCCCCGCACUUGUUCGAUGAAUUAUUUGAAGCUAGAAAAUUUGUCCCUUCUUCUUUCAGGCAAUGGAAUCUGACUUGGAGUACAUAUACGAGAACUAUGUUGAGUCGUCUGACGAGGAGAACUACACAAAUGAGACGGUGAUGAUGCAGGCGGUCCUUGAAGACGUGGAGCGUGCAGUGGAUCAUGUUAGAUAAGCUUCGUCUUUCAUCUAUCAUUGAUGAUUUAGAAGCUUUGGCGGAGGUUAGACCUCUACCUGAGCAUGAAAUGGAGAUCAAGAGUCAUUCGAAUGCACAGAUAGCUAGGCUGCUGCGUGAAGAGGAACUCAUGUGCUACCAACUUUGUAACUCCCAAUUUAUCCUGAAAGGCGAUUCGAAUAGUAGAUAUUUCCAUGGAAUCGCCAAUGGCAGACACCGGAAAAAAAUUAUUCAUUCCUUACAACAGGAUGAGGGCAUGAUUGAGGGGUAUGAGCAACUUAAAUCUUAUAUCACUAAUUAUUAUAAAAAAUUAUUUGGAGCCCCAGAGGAAAGAAACUUCUCUAUGGAUGAGUCUGAAACAGAUGACAUCCCGCAUGUCUCUAAUGAGGAAAACGGCCUUCUAACAGCCCCAUACUCUGAGGAAGAAAUUAGAAAUGCGGUUUUCCUAAUGGAGCACAACAAAGCCCCGAGACCAGAUGAUUUUCCCUCUAAGUUCUAUCAUAACUUUUGGGAAGUCAUCAAACCGGAUCUCCUGCUUUUGUUUAGCGACCUAUAUGCCGACCAACUAGAAUUGUUUUGCUUAAACUUCAGCGAGAUUAUUUUAUUACCUAAGGUUAAUGAGGCUGAAAGGAUACAACAAUAUAGACCUAUUUGCCUCCUUAAUGUUAGUUUAAAAUAUUCACGAAGGUUGCGACUAUUAGGCUAAAUUCGGUUGUUGAACACGUGAUUCGUCCUUCACAGACUGCAUUUAUGCAAGGCAGACACAUCCUAGACGGAGUUGUUACCCUUCAUGAAACAGUCCAUGAAUUACAUCGGAAAAGGUUGAAUGGGAUGAUACUCAAAAUAGACUUUGAAAAAGCUUAUGACAAAGUCAAAUGGCCAUUUCUUCAACAGACUCUCAUAAUGAAAGGAUUUUCUGUAGAGUGGCGUGCUAUGAUCCAUAGCUUUGUUUCUGAAGGUAGUGUUGCCAUUAAGGUCAAUGAUGAUGUUGGACACUAUUUCCAAACAAAGAAGGGAUUGCGACAAGGUGACUCGAUAUCGCCCAUGCUAUUCAAUAUAGUGGCGGAUAUGCUAGCGGUCAUGAUUGAGCGUGCCAAGGUUGAUGGCCAAAUUGAUGGGGUCACUAUGCAGGAUGCUGCUAACGCGACAUUACGAUCAGAGACCCUUUGACGAAAUUGUGUGCGAUGCAUUAAUCGCAAACAGUGAUGUAAAAUAACCGUCAAAAAAGAUGCAAAACAUUUGCGAUGGGGGAUACAUCAAACACGGUUCAGAUUUUAGUUGUGUGUGCGAUGCGGGGCAUACGGUUCAGUUCAAUGAACUAUUUGCGAUGAGGUAGAACAAAAGAAACGGGCAGUCAGAUCAAGGCGUGUGCGAUAUACAACAUACAGUUCACUCGGAUAAACUGUUUGUGAUGAGGCGGAACUACAGAAACGGGCAGCUAGAUGAAGGUGUGUGCGAUAUACGACAUAUAGUUCACUCGGAUGAACUGUUUGCGUUGAUCCAAGAGAACAGAAACGGUUCAACUUAACAAUAUGUGUGUGAUACGCGGCAAACAGGUCUAUAAUCGGAAACAUGUGGGAAGACCGAUCACAACACAGACGAUUCCUGUUAACAAGCCGUGUGUGUUGUGAGCAAACGAUUGCUGGUAUACAAUUGUCAGUGAUUGAUGAAAUCAUCACCAACGGGUUCCAUUGUUUAGUCCGUGUGCGAUGUGAUUUUCUCUGUCUAUAGAGCAUCAACAUAUAUACUUAAAAAGACAGCAUUGCAAAACCAAAUUAAGCAUACAAUUACACAAGUGACUACACACAUAACAUUUCCACACACCAAAGUAAGCAAUUACAUGCAUACUAAACUAGGAGAAACGAGGAUCUAAUCAUCUACUUAUUAUUGUGACGACGCUUGCCAUUGCUGUGCUUUCGGCUGGAUCCCUGGCCGUUUUGUGGAAGGAGGCACUUCCUCAUGUCAACGAUCCGCAUGUACAUGUCGUAGCUCAUGUAUGCCUCCUUGGUCGCGUACAUGAUGUGAGCUUUGUCGAGUUUCUUCAUCCAGGCCGAGUGCCAGGCACGCUUGUCCUUGUUGCAGGAAUCCUUCAUGUCUCUGUAGUGGGGGUCGAUGAUGGCCUCGGCGAGGUGAACCAGUGAGUCCUUCUCACGCUCCUUGUUGCCCCAGAUCUUGUAUUGGCCCUGGACGUCGACAAGAUUCUGGCAGGCGAUGCCCGAAUUCUUGAGUGCCUUUACAUCGUUGGUGAUGUGUUGGGAAACGUUGCAUGGAAAACAAAAAAAAUCUAUGCACACGCAAGAUCUAUCCAUGGAGAUGCAUAGCAACGAGAGGGGGGAGUGUGUCUACAUACCCUCGUAGACCGUAAGUGGAAGCGUUUAACAACGCGGUUGAUGUAGUCGUACUCUUCGCGAUCCGAUCACGGUCCAACCGAUCUAGUGUCGAACGGACGGCACCUUCGAGUUUAGCACACAUGCGGCUCGAUGAUGUCUACUCCUUCUUGAUCCAGCGAGCGAGAGAGGAGAAGUAGAUGGGAUCACAACCAACACGACGGCGUGGUGGUGAUGGUGGUAGUGGAGUACCGACAGCGCUUCGCUAAGCGUCGCCGGGACGAGGCGGUGGAACUACGGAAUAACGGGAGAGAGAGGGGCGCCAAGGUGUAAGUGCAUCUAGUGCCCCUUAGUGAUUUUGGUGUAUUGAAGACUUAUAGGUUAAGGGACUGAUGUGUGUGUGAGUGUACACGGGUUCUUUAAGUCUAUGAGGAGUUUGAUAUUUACGAUGAAAGUCGACCCCUAAAAAUGAAUGUCUUCAGUUGAAGACUUUGGUUUUCUUGAAGACUUUGAAAGUGAGGAAAUUGGUGUGACCUUGAAGACUUCGAUGUUCAUGCGAGGAUUAUGAAGCGUGAAGACUUUUGUUUUCGUAGUUUCAUUUUCUCUUUCUUGAGUCAUAGGAAACACCGUACUGUUAAAGGGGUCGAGGUAAAACUAAGGAAACACUUUCCAAGUGAUGCUCAUCUCAAAAUCCUACACCUACCCAAUCAUUUCGAGUGAAGCCAUUGGAAAUCUCAUACAACCCAGUCAAUUUCUUCAGUGAUAAAGACGAAGAUCUUUUGGUCUCUGAGGAAUUUGUACCGACUGAGGAGUUAGGAAUUCGCCAGGGCAGAUUGCCUACAAGUGAGGAACAUGAUAGCCCUGAGGAAUUUGAGAGCUCAAAUUUCCGACCGUUGCUGUGCUACACGCCAGUUGUCCCAAAAUAUCCUACCCACCUAAUGGUCAUAUCAUUGAAGGGCAUUUAUGUCUUAUCAUGUCGGGCUGCUCCCUGGGCUAUAAAUAGCCGCCCCUACAACCACUAGUUGGUUGGCUGCUCCGAGAGAAACUGACACUUUUCAUUGAGAGCAUCCCAUCCUCCGAGGACUUUGAGCAAAAAUCAUCAAGUGAGGAAAACCCAAACCCAAAACACCUACAAACCCAAAGUGAUUGAGCAUCACUGAAGAGAUUGUUCCUGUGUGGAACCAGCACUUGAUACCUUUGAGUACUGUGCAUCCUCCAGACGGUUAGGCGUCAUGGUCUAGAGCAUCCAAGAGGAAUUGUGGAUCGCCGAGUGACCGAGUCUGUGAAGGUUUGGAAGUCACCUGAAGACUUACCACGUGUGAUUGGGCGAGGUCUGUGUGAUCUUAGCUCUAGGAGAAUACGGCGAGGACUGUGUGUCCGGGACUGUGUGUCCUCAGGUUUAAAUACCUAGCCGCUCCAACCAGACGUACAACUCUCGCAUUAGUUGGAACUGGUCUACCAAAUCAUCGUCUUCACCAAGCUACUAAUUCUAUUUCCUCAACCCUUUCAUUUCCUCAUUCAUGUGUUGAUGUACUUAAUCGUUACUAUUUGAAGAUUUUGACUGAAGACUUUCUCAAUUUCCUCAAUCCUAAUUUUUCAGUCACUUUUGUCUUCAGCCUGCUUAUCUUGUUUACACGCUACGUGUGCUCUGUGUAUGUUUCAAUUCAUCAUGAUGACCAUGCUACUGCUCUGUUAGGCAUGCACCUGAGUACUUAUUCCGUUGCUUGUAGUUCGUGACUUAGGAAAUUCCUCAAGUUGAAUUUCCCCAGUGACGAAUUUGUAAAAAUUGCCUAUUCACCCCCCACUAGUCGAUAUAACGCACUUUCACAAGGGCUUGGCCUGUCCUCUUGGGGCGCCCCCUCCCCUCUAUAUAUAGAUGGAGGGGCGUGGGAAACAGCCCCUCCAAGCCCUAGGGCGCAGCUAAGGGGGAGAGGACUUGGACUCCAAGUCCAAUCCUCUUCCUACUAGGACUCCUUUCUUUUUUGCCUUCCCUAGCCACAUGGGCUUUUGAGGACAUGGUACGCCUAGCCCAAUAAGGCCAGGCACCUCUCCGCAGCCCAUGCUAGCCCUUAGGUCGUGGUGGACCCACUUGUGGACUUCCGGACCACUCCUAAAUCCACCGAAACCUUCUAGAAGCUUCCCGGUACAAUACCGAAAAAACUGCACUUCAUUCCGGAACCCAAAAUAUGUCUUCGCAUGUAUAAAUCUUUACCUCUCGACCAUUCUGAGACUCCUCGUGAUGUCCAGAAUCUCAUCCGGGACUCCGAACAGCAUUUGGUUACCACUCAUCAAAUAUCCCAAUACUACUCUAGCGUUAGCGAACGUUAAGCGUGCAACCCUGCGGGUUCGGGAAUUAUGUAGUCAUGAUCGAGACACCUCUCCGGUCAAUAACCAACAGCGGGACCUAGAUGCCCAUAUUGAUUCCUACAUAUUCCACGAAGAUCUUUUUUUGGUUGAACCUUUAUGACAACAUACAUAAUUCCCUUUGUCUGUCGGUAUGUUACUUGCCCGAGAUUCGAUCGUCGGUAUCUCUAUACCUAGUUCAAUCUCGUUACCGAAAAGUUUCUUUACUCGUUCCAUAAUACAUCAUCUUACAACUAACUCCUUAGUCACUUCACUUGCAAGCUUCUUGUGAUGUGUAUUACCGAGAGGGCCCAGAGAUACAUCUCCGAUACACGGAGUGACAAAUCCUAAUCUCGAUUCACGCCAACUCAACAGACACCUUCGAAGAUACAUGUAGAGCAUCUUUAUGAUCACCCAAUUACAUUGUGACGUUUGAUAGCACACAAGGUAUUCCUCCGGUAUCCGGUAGUUGCAUGAUCUCAUGGUCGAAGGAACAUGUAUUUGACAUUAAGAAAGCAGUAGCAAUAAACUGAACGAUCAUAUGCCAAGCUAACGGAUGGGUCUUGUCCAUCACAUCAUUCUCCUAAUGAUGUGAUCCCGUUAUCAGAUGACAACUCAUGUCUAUGGUUAGGAAACCCUAACCAUCUUUGAUCAACGAGCUAGUCUAGUAGAGGCUUACUAGGGACUGGUAUUUGUUUAUGUAUCCACACAUGUAUUUAAGUUUCCGGUCAAUACAAUUCUAGCAUGAAUAAGAAACCUUUAUCAUGAUUUAGGAAAUAUAAUAAUAACCAUUUUAUUAUUGCCUCUAGGGCAAAUUUCCAUCAAUCUCCCUCUUGCACUAGAGUCAAUAAUCUAGUUCACAUCGCCAUGUGAUUAACACCCAUAGUUCACAUCGCCAUGUGACCAACACCAAAAGAGUUUACUAGAGUCAAUAACAUAGUUCACAUCACCAUGCAUGUGAUUAACACCCAAAGAGUACUAAGGUGUGAUCAUGUAUUUCUUGUGAGAGAAGUUUAGUCAAUGGGUCUGUCACAUUCAGAUUCGUAUGUAUUUUGCAAAUUUCUAUGCCUACAAUUCUCUGCAUGGAGCUACUCUAGCUAAUUGCUCCCACUUUCAAUAUGUAUCCAGAUUGAUACUCAUAGUCAUCCGAAUAGGUGUCAAAGCUUGCAUCGACGUAACUCUUUGCGACGAACUCUUUAUCACCUCCAUAACCGAGAAAAUAUUUCCUUAGUUCUCUAAGGUUAAUUUUGACCGUUGUCCAGUGAUCUACUCCUGGAUCACUAUUGUACCCCCUUGCCAAACUCAUGGCAAGGCACACAAUAGGUCUGGUACACAGCAUGGCAUACUUUAUAGAACCUAUGGCUGAGGCAUAGGGAAUGACUUUCAUUCUCUCUCUAUCUUCUACCGUGGUCGGGCUUUGAGUCUUACUCAACUUCACACCUUGUAACACAGGCAAGAGCCCUUUCUUUGACUAAUCCAUUUUGAACUUCUUCAAAACUUUAUUAAGGUAUGUACUUUGGGAAAGUCUUAUCAAGCGUCUUGAUCUAUCUCUAUAGAUCUUGAUGCCUAAUAUGUAAGCAGCUUCACCGAGGUCUUUCAUUGAAAAAUUCUCAUUCAAGUAUCCUUUUAUGCUAUCCAGGAAUUCUAUAUAAUUUCCAAUCAACAAUAUGCCAUCCACAUAUAAUAUCAGAAAUGCUGCAGAGCUCCCCCUUACUUUUUUGUAAAUACAUGCUUCACCAUAAGUCUGUAUAAAACCAUAUGCUUUGAUCACCUCAUCAAAGCGUAUAUUCCAACUCCGAGAUGCUUGCACCAGUCCAUAGAUGGAUUGCUAGAGUUUGCACACUUUGUUAGCACCUUUAGGAUCGACAAAACCUUCUCGUUGCAUCAUAUACAACUCAUCUUUAAGAAAUCAAUUAAGGAAUGCAGUUUUCACAUCCAUUUGCCAGAUUUCAUAAUUAUAAAAUGCGGCGCUUGCUAACAUGAUUCGGACUAACUUAAGCAUCGCUAUGGGUGAGAAGGUCUCAUCAUAGUCAACCCCUUGAACUUGUCGAAAACCUUUUGCGACAAGUCGAGCUUUGUAGACAGUGAUAUUACCAUCAGCAUUCGUCUUCCUCUUGAAGACCCAUUUAUUCUCAAUGGCUUGCCGAUCAUCGGGCAAGUCCACCAAAGUCCACACUUUGUUCUCAUACAUGGAUCCUAUCUCAUAUUUCAUGCCCUCAAGCCAUCUGUCGGAAUCUGGGAUCAUCAUAGCUUCUUCAUAGUUCAUAGGUUCGUCAUGGUCUAAUAACAUGACUUCCAGGAUAGGAUUACUGUACCACUCUAGUGCAGAACGUGCUCUGUUCAACCUACGAGGUCCAGUUGUAAAUUUAUCUGAAGUUUCAUGAUCAUCAUCAUUAGCCUCCUCUCUAGUUGGUGUAGGCAUCACGGGAACAGAUUUCUCUGAUGUGCUACUUUCCAACUCGAGAGAAGGUACAAUUACCUCAUCAAGUUCUAAUUUCCUCCCACUCACUUCUUUCGAGAGAAACUCCUUCUCUAGAAAGGAUCCAUUCUUAGCAACAAAGAUCUUGCCUUCGGAUCUGUGAUAGAAAGUGUACCCAAUUGUUUCCUAAGCGCAUCCUACGAAGACGCACUUCUCCGAUUUGUGUUCGAGCUUAUCAGGCUGAAGCCUUUUGACAUAAAUGUCGCAACCCCAAACUUUAAGAAAUGACAGCUUAAGUUUCUUGCCAAACCAUAGUUCAUACGAUGUCGUCUCAACGGAUUUAGACAUUGCCCUAUUUAAUGUGAAUGCAGCUGUCUCUAAUGCAUAACCCCAAAACUAUAGUGGUAAAUCGGUAAGAGACAUCAUAGAACGCACCAUAUCUAAUAAAGUAUGGUUAUGACGUUCGGACACAUCAUUACGCUGUGGUGUUAGAGGUGGCGUGAAUUGUGAAACAAUUCCACAUUGUUUUAAAUGAAGGCCAAACUCGUAACUCAAAUAUUCGCCUCCGCGAUCAGAUCGUAGAAACUUUUUUUCUUGUUAUGAUGAUUCUCCACUUCACUCUGAAAUUCCCUUUGAACUUUUCAAAUGUUUCAGACUUGUGUUUCAUUAAGUAGAUAUACCCAUACAUACGGAAAUCAUCUGUGAAGGUCAGAAAAUAACGAUACCCGCCGCGUGCUUCAACACUCAUCGGACCGCAUACAUCAGUAUGUAUUAUUUCCAAUAAGUCAUUAGCUCGCUCCAUUGUUCCGGAGAACGGAGUUUUAGUCAUCUUGCCCAUGAUUCACAAGUAUCAAAUGAUUCAUAACCAAGUGAUUCUAACAGUCCAUUUGCAUGGAUUUUCUUCAUGCGCUUUACACCAAUAUGACCUAAACGGCAGUGCCACAAAUAUGGUGCACUAUCAUUGUCAACUUUGCAUCUCUUUGGCAUCAAUGUUAUGAAUAUAUGUAUCACUACGAUCGAGAUUCAUAGAAGGUUUUAUUCAUGUAAACAGAACAACAAUUAUUCUCUACUUAAAUGAAUAAACGUAUUGCAAUAAACAUGAUCUAAUCAUAUUCAUGCUCAACGCAAACACCAAAUAACAUUUAUUUAGGUUCAACACUAAUCCCGAAGGUAGAGGGAGUGUGCGAUGGUGAUCAUAUCAACCUUGGAAUCAUUUCCAACACACAUCGUUGAUACGUCUCCAUCGUAUCUACUUUUCCAAACUCUUUUGCCCUUGUUUUGGACUCUAACUUGCAUGAUUUGAAUGGAACUAACCCGGACUGACGCUGUUUUCAGCAGAAUUGCCAUGGUGUUAUUUUUGUGCAGAAUAAAAAGUUCUCGGAAUGACCUGAAACUUCACGGAGAUAAGUUUUGGAAUUAAUAAAAAAUAUUGGCAAAAGAAUCAAGUGAAGGGGGCCCACACCCUUGCCACAAGGGGGGGGGGGCGCCUCCCGACCUUGUGGGCCCCUAGACCUCCACCAACCUCAACUCCAACUCCAUAUAUUCACGUUCGGGGAGAAAAAAAUCAGAGAGAAGGAUUCAUCACAUUUUACGAUACGGAGCCGCCGCCAAGCCCUGUUCUUCCUCGGGAGGGCAGAUCUGGAGUCCGUUUUGGGCUCCGGAGAGGGGAAUCCGUCGCCAUCGUCGUCAUCAACCAUCCUCCAUCACCAAUUUCAUGAUGCUCAUCAUUGUGCGUGAGUAAUUCCAUCGUAGGCUUGCUGGACCGUGAUGGGUUGGAUGAGGUUUACCAUGUAAUCGAGUUAGUUUUGUUAGGGUUUGAUCCCUAGUAUCCACUAUGUUCUAAGAUUGAUGUUGCUAUGACUUUGUUAUGCUUAAUGAUUGUCACUAGGGCCCGAGUGCCAUGAUUUCAGAUCUGAACCUAUUAUAUUUUCAUGAAUAUAUUUGUGUUCUUGAUCCUAUCUUGCAAGUUAUAGUCACCUACUACGUGUUAUGAUCUGGCAACCCUAGAGUGACAAUAGUCGGGACCACUCCCGGUGAUGACCGUAGUUUGAGGAGUUCAUGUAUUCACUAAAUGUUAAUGCUUUGGUCAGGUACUCUAUUAAAAGGAGGCCUUAGUAUCCCUUAGUUUCCAAUAGGACCCCGCUACCAUGGGAGGGUAGGACAAAAGAUGUCAUGCAAGUUCUUUUCCAUAAGCAUGUAUGACUAUAUACGGAAUACAUGCCUACAUUAUAUUGAUGAACUGGAGCUAGUUCUGUGUCACCCUAUGUUAUAACUGUUGCAUGAUGAAUGCCAUCCAACAUAAUUAUCCAUCAUUGAUCCAUUGCCUACGAGCUUUUCACAUAUUGAUCUUUGCUAAGUUACUUUUCCGUUGCCACUGUUACGAUUGCUACAAUACUGCUACUGUUACUUUUGCCACCGUUACCGUUACUUCCAUACUACUUUGCUACUAAAUACCUUGCUGCAGAUAUUAAGUCUUUCAGGUGUGGUUGAAUUGAUAACUCAGCUGCUAAUACUUGAGAAUGUUCUUUGGCUCCCCUUGUGUCGAAUCAAUAAAUUUGGGUUGAAUACUCUACCCUCGAAAACUGUUGCGAUCCCCUAUACUUGUGGGUUAUCAAGACCUUUUUCUGGCAUCGUUGCCGGCUCUGAGUCAAUUGGGAUUUAUAUCUGCUGAUCACUAUGAGGAAUUUUAAAUAUCGAAGAAACAAGAUUUUUCCCUCAACUACGAGGGGAGGUAAGGAACUACCAUCUAGCUCUGCACUUGAUUCUCCUUCUGUUUUGAGUAAACUUGCGACACCUACACCUGCUAUUGAUUCCGAUAUGUUGCAUGUUAUUGAUGAUGCCACUUCUACUAUGCAUGAUGCUUAUGAUGAAACUAGUUCCCUGCUUGAUAAUUGAUGACCCACAAGUAUAGGGGAUCUAUCGUAGUCCUUUCGAUAAGUAAGAGUGUCAAACCCAACGAGGACCAGAAGGAAAUGAUAAGCGAUUUUCAGCAAGGUAUUCUCUACAAGCACUGAAAUUAUAGGUAACAGAUAGUUUUGUGAUAAGAUAAUUUGUAACGAGCAACAAGUAACAAAAGUAAAUAAAGUGCAGCAAGGUGGCCCAAUCCUUUUUGUAGGAAAGGACAAGCUUGGACAAACUCUUAUAUAGAGAAAAGCGCUCCCGAGGACACAUGGGAAUUAUCGUCAAGCUAGUUUUCAUCACAUUCAUAUGAUUCACGUUCGGUACUUUGAUAAUUUGAUAUGUGGGUGGACCGGUGCUUGGGUGAUGUCCUUACUUGGACAAGCCUCCCACUUAUGAUUAACCCCUAUUGAAAGCAUCCACAACUACAAAAGAAGUAUUAAGGUAAACCUAACCAUAGCAUGAAACAUAUGGAUCCAAAUCAGCCCCUUACGAAGCAACACAUAAACUAGGGUUUAAGCUUCUGUCACUCUAGCAACCCAUCAUCUACUUAUUACUUCCCAAUGCCUUCCUCUAGGCCCAAACAAUGGUGAAGUGUCAUGUGGUCGACGUUCACAUAACACCACUAGAGGAGAGACAACAUACAUCUCAUCAAAAUAUCGAACGAAUACCAAAUUCACAUGACUACUAAUAGCAAGACUUCUCCCAUGUCCUCAGGAACAAACGUAACUACUCACAAAGCAUAUUCAUGUUCAUAAUCAGAGGAGUAUUAAUAUGCAUAUAGGAUCUGAACAUAUGAUCUUCCACCAAAUAAACCAACUAGCAUCAACUACAAGGAGUAAUCAACACUACUAGCAACCUACAGGUACCAAUCCCAGACUUAGAGACAAGAAUUGGAUACAAGGGAUGAACUAGGGUUUGAGAGGAGAUGGUGCUGGUGAAAAUGUUGAUGGAGAUUGGCCCCCUCCCGAUGAGAGGAGCAUUGGUGAUGACGAUGGCGAUGAUUUCCCCCUCCCGGAGGGAAGUGUCCCCGGCAGAACAGCUCUGCCGGAGCCCUAGAUUGGUUCCGCCUCGUGGCGGCGGAGUCUUGUCCCGAAAGCUUGCUUAUAUUUUUCUUCGGACGAAAGACUUCAUAUAGCAGAAGAUGGGCACCGGAGGGCCAACAGGGGGCCCAAAGGCAGGGGGCGCGCCCAGGGGGGUAGGGCGCGCCCCCACCCUCGUGGCCAAGGUGUGGGCCCCCUCUGGUAUUUCUUUCGCUCAGUAUUUUUUAUUAUUUCCAAAAACAACUUCCGUGGAGUUUCAGGACUUUUAGAGUUGUGCAGAAUAGGUCUCUAAUAUUUGCUCCUUUUCCAGCCCAGAAUUCCAGUUGUCGGCAUUCUCCCUCCUUAUGUAAACCUUGUAAAAUAAGAGAGAAUAGGCAUAAGUAUUGUGACAUAAUGUGUAAUAAUAGCCCAGAAUGCAUUAAAUAUCAAUAUAAAAGCAUGAUGCAAAAUGGACGUAUCAACUCCCCCAAGCUUAGACCUCGCUUGUCCUCAAGCAGAAGCCGAUAACGAUAAAUAUGUCCACAUGUUUAGAGGUAGAGGUGUCGAUAAAAUAAAAUACGGACAUGAGGGCAUCAUGAUCAUUCUUAUAACAACAACAUAUAUGGAUAUUGUCAUAUGAUUUCUUAUGCUCAAGUAAUAAUCUAUUCACAACGCCAAGUAUGAAUCAGAAACUUUAUUGAGAACUAACAAACUAUCAUCUCAGUCACUGAGGCAAUUACAAUUUAUCAUAACAUCAGAAAGAGUCUAUGUCAGAGCUUUUUAGCAAGUCCACAUACUCAACUAUCAUUUAGUCUUUCACAAUUGCUAACACUCACACAAUACUUCUGGUUAUGGAGUUUUAAUCGGACACAGAGAAAGAUAGGGGCUUAUAGUUUCGCCUCCCAACCUUUUACCUCAAGGGUUAUAGUUCAUGCUAACUUACAUCCAAUUAGAUAUAUAUAUAUAUAUAUAUAUAUAUAUAUAUAUAUAUAUAUAUAUAUAUAUAUAUAUAUAUCAGGAUCUUUCCAACAUACUGUGCUUGCCAAAGGAUAAAAUGUAAAAAGGAAAGGUGAAGAUUACCAUGACUCUUGCAUAAGGGUAAGAGAUAAAAGUAAAAGAUAGGCCCUUCGCAGAGGAAAGCAGAGGUUGUCAUGCGCUUUCAUGGUUGGAUGCACGAAAUCUUAAUGCGAAAGAACGUCACUUUAUAUUGCCACUUGUGAUAUGGACCUUUAUUAUGCAGUCUGUCACUUUUAUUUCUUCCACAUCACAAGAUCGUAUAAAGCUUAUUUCCUCCACACCAAUCAAUCAUACAUAUUUAGAGAGCAAUUUUUAUUGCUUGCACCGAUGACAACUUACUUGAAGGAUCUUACUCAAUCCAUAGGUAGAUAUGGUGGACUCUCAUGGAAAAACUGGGUUUAUGGGUAUUUGGAAGCACAAGUAGUAUCUCUACUUGGUGCAAAGAAUUUGGCUAGCAUGAGGGGGAAAGGCAAGCUCAACAUAUUGGAUGAUCCAUGACAAUAUACUUUAUUUCAGAUAUAAGAAAACAUAACCCAUUACGUUGUCUUCCUUGUCCAACAUCAACUCUUUAGCAUGUCAUAUUUUAAUGAGUACUCACAAUCAUAAAAAGAUGUCCAAGAUAGUAUAUUUAUAUGUGAAACCUCUCUUUCUUUAUUACUUCCUAUUAAUUGCAACGAUGACCAAAACUAUGUUUGUCAACUCUCAACAACUUUUAAUCAUCAUACUCUUUAUAUGUGAAGUCAUUACUCUCCAUAAGAUCAAUAUGAUCUCUUUGUUUCUUUUUUAUUCUUUCUUUUUCUUUUAUUCCCUCAAGAUCAUGGCAAAGUAAUCAAGCCCUUGACUCAACACUAAUCUUUAUUAUAUAGCUCACGGACUCGAUUACAUAGAAGGGAUCAUAAAGCAAAACUCAAAACUAGAUCAUACUAAAAACUUUAUUCUACUAGAUCAAGAUAUUUCUAAAAAGAUCGAACUAAGAAAACGGUAAAGAUAGAGAUGUGAUGGUGAUACGAUACCGGGGCACCUCCCCCAAGCUUGGCAGUUGCCAAGGGGAGUGCCCAUACCCAUGUCGUUAUAUCUCCUUCUUCGGAGAUGGUGAUGUGAUAUUCUUGGCGAUGAUGCCCCUCAGGAUACGAUUCUCCUCCUCGAGCUUAUUGACUUGCUACUUGAGGUCCAUUAUUUCCUUUCAAAGCUUUCCUAUAACGGCCAAAGCUCCUUGCACCCAAGGGUGUUGCAUAGCUGCGGGAGAACAAGUGACACUCUUCUUCAUAUUUUCAUAAGAAAGAAAUCUAACAUUGGAAGGGAUAACCGAGUUUGGAAUAGCUGAGCUCUGUAGUUCCCCCAUUGUGAAUCCAGCUCGGAAGCGAGAAGUGGCUUCUUAAUCCUCUUCCAUGGCAUCUAUCCUCUUCAAAUCAGCCUCCAUCUCUUCCUCCGUUGCUGGCCCAAAGUGGUCAGCAUUGCUGUUUGUCCUUGGUCUCGAUGCCGGAUGAGACACCCGGUUCUCCCUGACUGACUCUUGAGAAGACAUCUUGCUCUAAUCUACAGCAGCAACAGAUCGAAACACAAACAGAGGAUAAUUGUGUGAUACGGGAGUCAAAACCUUCGGGAGAUUAUAUAAUGAAUUUUUACCGGCCAAAAUACGUAUCGUGCAAGAAAACGGAGUCCGGAGAGCGCACGAGGUGCCCACGAGGCAGGGGGCGCGCCCAGGGGGGUAGGGCGCGCCCUCCACCCUCGUGGAGCCCUUGUGUCCUUCCCAGACUGGUUCUUAUUUUUCUAUUUUUCUAAAUAUUCCAAAACAUAGAAAAAUUGCCAUUAGAACUGUUUUGGAGUUGGUUUACUUACCGUACCAUAUACCUAUUCCUUUUCAGAGUCUGAAAAGUUCCGGAAAGUGUCUCUUAUGUAUUCCUCCGGGGUUACAGUUUCAAUAACAUCGGUUUCAACAUUUAUGGGAUUACCGGAGAUAUAAUGUUUGAUUCUUUGGCCGUUCACCACCUUCGGAUUUGUGCCUCCAAGUUGUUGAUUUUUAUGGCACCGGAACGAUAGACCACCUCGAUAACGUAUGGACCUUCCCAUUUAGAGAGAAGUUUCCCUGCAAAAAAUCUUAAACGAGAGUUUUAUAGCAAUACAUAAUCACCUACAUUAAACUCACGCUUUUGUAUUCUUUUGUCAUGCCAUCUUUUAACUUUUUCUUUAAACAAUUUGGCAUUAUCAUAGGCUUGGGUUCUCCAUUCAUCAAGUGAGCUAAUGUCAAAUAACCUCUUCUCACCAGCAAGUUUGAAAUCAUAAUUGAGCUCUUUAAUAGCCCAAUAAGCCUUAUGUUCUAGUUCGAGAGGUAAGUGACAUGCUUUUCCCUAAACCAUUUUAUACGGAGACAUACCCAUAGGAUUUUUAUAUGCAGUUCUAUAGGCCCAUAAUGCAUCAUCAAGUUUAUUGGACCAAUUCUUUCCAGAUCUAUUAACAGUCUUUUGCAAAAUUAAUUUGAGCUCUCUAUUGCUCAAUUCUACUUGACCACUAGACUGUGGGUGAUAUGGAGAUGCAAUUCUAUGAUUAACAUCAUACUUGGCAAGCAUUUUACGGAAAGCACCAUAUAAAAUGUGAACCACCAUCAGUCAUUAAAUAUCUAGGGACUCCAAACCUCGGAAAAAUAACUUCUUUAAGCAUCUUAAUAGAGGUGUUAUGAUCAACACUACUAGUUGGAAUAGCUUCUACCCACUUAGUAACGUAAUCAACAGCAACUAAAAUAUGUGUAUAUCCAUUAGAGGCAGGAAACGGUCCCAUAUAAUCAAAGCCCCAAACAUCAAACGGUUCAAUAACAAGUGAAUAAUUCAUAGGCAUUUCUUGACGUCUACUAAUAUUACCAAUUCUUUGACAUUCAUCACAAGAUAAGACAAACUUACGGGCAUCUUUAAAGAGAGUAGGCCAAUAAAAACCGGAUUGCAAUACCUUAUGUGCAGUUCUAUCUCCAGUGUGGUGUCCUCCAUAAGCCUCGGAGUGACACUUGCGUAGGAUCUGUUCCUGUUCAUGCUCAGCUACACAACGUCUAAUAACACCAUCUACUCCUUCUUAAUAAAGAUGUGGGUCAUCCCAAAAGUAAUGUCUCAAAUCAUAGAAAAACUUUUUCUUUUGCUGGUAUGUGAAACUAGGUGGUAUAAAUUUAGCAACAAUGUAAUUAGCAUAAUCAGCAUACCAUGGAGCAGUACGAGAAGCAUUUAUGACAUUUAAUUGUUCAUCAGGAAAGCUAUCAUCAAUAGGUAGUGGGUCAUCAAGAACAUUUUCUAACCUAGACAAGUUGUCUGCAACGGGGUUCUCAGCUCCCUUUCUAUUAAUAAUAUGCAAAUUAAAUUCUUGUAGCAAGAGGACCCAUCUAAUAAGUCUAGGUUUAGCAUCUUUCUUUUCCAUAAGAUAUUUAAUAGCAGUGUGAUCAGUGUGAAUAGUUACUUUAGAAUCAACAAUAUAAGGUCUGAACUUAUCACAAGCAAAUACAACUGCUAAGAAUUAUUUUUCAGUAGUAGCAUAAUUUCUCUGAGCAUUGUCUAGAGUUUUACUAGCAUAUUGAAUAACAUUUAAUUUCUGAUCAACUCUUUGCCCUAGAACAACACCUACAGCAUAAUCACUAGCAUCACACAUAAUUUCAAAGGGUAAAUUCCAAUCAGGUGGCUGAACAAUAGGUGUAGAGAUCAAUGCUUUCUUAAGUAUUUCAAAUGCUUCUACACAAUCAUCAUCAAAGACAAAUGGUAUAUCUUUUUGUAAUAAAUUAGUCAGAGGCCGAGAAAUUUUAGAGAAGUCCUUAAUGAACCUCCUAUAAAAUCCGGCGUGACCAAGGAAACUUCUUAUACCUUUGAUGUCCUUGGGACAUGGCAUCUUUUCAAUAGCAUCAACUUUAGCUUUAUCAACUUCAAUACCUCUUUCAGAAAUUUUAUGCCCCAAGACAAUGCCUUCAUUAACCAUAAAGUGGCACUUUUCCCAAUUCAAGACAAGAUUAGUUUCUUCACAUCUGUGCAAAACUCGAUCAAGGUUGCUCAAGCAAUCAUCAAAAGAGGAUCCAUAAACGGAGAAAUCGUCCAUGAAAACCUCACAAAUCUUUUCACAAAAGUCAGAGAAUAUAGCCAUCAUGCAUGUUUGAAAGGUAGCAGGUGCAUUACAUAAACCAAAAGGCAUACGUCUAUAGGCAAAAGUACCGAAAGGGCAAGUAAAAGUGGUCUUAGCUUGAUCAUCAACUGACACAUGUAUUUGAGAGAAACCAGAAUAACCAUCUAGAAAGCAAAAAUGUGUAUGUUUGGAUAAUCUUUCUAGCAUUUGGUCAAUAAAAGGUAAGGGGUAAUGAUCUUUUUUAGUAGCCUUAUUUAAUUUGCGAAAAUCAAUUACCAUCCUAUAACCUGUAAUAAUUCUUUGCGGAAUCAAUUUAUCUUUAUCAUUAGGAACGACAGUAAUACCUCCUUUCUUAGGGACACAAUGGACAGGACUUACCCACUGACUAUCAGCAACGGGAUAAAUUAUACCUGCCUCAAGGAGCUUUAGUAUUUCUUUUCUUACCACUUCUUUCAUCUUAGGAUUCAGCCGUGAUUGAUGAUCGAUAACUGGUUUGGCAUCUUUCUCCAAAUUUAUUUUAUGUUGACAUAGAGUGGGACUAAUGCCCUUAAGAUCAUCAAGAGUAUAUCCAAUAGCAGCACGGUGCUUCUUCAGAGUUUUCAAUAAUUUUUCUUCCUCCUUCUCUGAAAGGUUAGCACUAAUAAUAAUAGGAUAUAUUUUCUUUUCAUCAAGAUAAGCAUAUUUAAGAGUAUCAGGCAAUGGUUUAAGCUCAAACACGGGAUCACCCUUGGGUGGAGGAGGAUCCCCUAGGAUUUUAACAGGCAAGUUGUGUUUCAGAAUAGGUCCCUGUUUAAAGAACACUUCAUCUAUUUCCCUUCUUUCAUUCAUAAACAUAUCAUUUUCAUGGUCUAGCAAAUAUUGUUCUAAAGGAUCAAUAGGAGGUACGGCAAUAGAAGCAAGACCAAUAAUUUCAUCUUUACUAGGCAAUUCCUCUUCACGGUGUUGUCUACAAAAUUUAGAGAAAUUAAACUCAUGAGACAUAUCACCUAAACCAAUUGUAACAACAUCCUUUUCGCAGUCUAUCUUAGCAUUAACAGUGUUUAAGAAGGGUCUACCAAAUAUAAUGGGACAAAAGCUAUCGUGUGGGGAACCAAGAACAAGAAAAUCAGCAGGAUAUUUAGUUUUCCCACACAAGACUUCAACAUAUCUAACAAUCCCAAUUGGUGAAAUAGUAUCUCUAUUGGCAAGUUUAAUUGUGACAUCAAUAUCUUCUAACUCAGCAGGUGCAAUAUCAUGCAUAAUUUCGUUGUAUAAGUCAAUAUGUAUUGCACUAGCACUAGCACCCAUAUCACACAAGCCAUGAUAACAAUGAUCUCCUAUUUUAACAGAAAUAACAGGCAUGCCUACCACAUGUCUAUGUUUAUCUUUAGCACAAGGUUUAGCAAUUCUAGCAGUCUCAUCACAGAAAUAAAUAACAUGUCCAUCAAUAUUACCAGCCAAGAGAUCUUCAACAAUAGCAAUAUUAGGUUCAACUUUAACUUGCUCAGGAGGUGUAUAGGUUCUAAUAUUACUUUUACGAACCACAGUUGAAGCUUUAGCAUGAUCCUUUAUUCUAACAGGGAAAGGUGGUUUUUCAACAUACGCAGUAGGAACAAUAGGAUCAUUAUAAGUGAUAGUCUUUUCUUCAACUUUAAUAGGUGCAGCUACUUUUACUUCUAUGGGAGGAUGAUAUUUAAACCACUUCUCCUUAGGGAGAUCAACAUGAGUAGCAAAAGAUUCACAGAAAGAAGCUACUAUCUCAGAGUCAAGUCCAUAUUUAGUGCUAAAUUUACGGAAAACAUCGGUAUCCAUAAAAGAUUUAACAUAAUCAAACUUAGGUGUCAUAUCUGACUCCUUACCUUCGUCGAGGUCCCAAUCUUCAGAGUUGCGUUUAAUUCUUUCCAAUAAAUCCCAUUUGAAUUCAAUAGUCUUCAUCAUAAAAGAUCCAGCACAAGAAGUAUCGAGCAUGGUGCGAUUGUUAUCAGAAAGCCGAGCAUAAAAUUUUUGAAUAAUCAUUUCUCUUGAGAGCUCAUGAUUGGGGCAUGAAUAUAACAUAGACUUAAGCCUCCCACAAGCUUGAGCGAUGCUUUAUCCUUCGCUAGGCCAAAAAUUAUAUAUAUAAUUGCGAUCACGAUGAACAAGAUGCAUAGGAUAAAACUUCUGAUGAAAUUCCAAUUUCAAUCGUUUGUAGUUCCAUGAUCCCAUAUCAUCACAUGGCCUAUACCAUGUCAAUGCAUCUCCCUUCAAAGAUAAAGGGAAGACCUUCUUCUUAAUAACAUCAUCGGGCAUACCUGCAAGCUUAAAUAAUCCACAAACCUCAUCCACAUAGAUUAGGUGCUCAUCAGGAUGUAAUGUUCCAUCUCCUGCAAAAGGAUUAGCUAGCAGUUUUUCUACCAUACCCGAAGGAAUUUCAAAGUAGACAUUUUCAUUUUCAGUAGGUUGAGGAGCAACUCUUUGCUCUACUGGUCGGGGUGAAGAUACCCCAAACAAGCCCCUCAGAGGAUUACUUUCCAUAGUAACAAGAGACAGUAAAUUUCAGCACACUAUAUAAAUUUUUCCUUACCAAAUUCCACCUACCAAAGGCGCUUCACUCCCCGGCAAUGGCGCCAGAAAAGAGUCUUGAUGACCCACAAGUAUAGGGGAUCUAUCGUAGUCCUUUUGAUAAGUAAGAGUGUCGAACCCAACAAGGAGCAGAAGGAAAUGAUAAGCGGUUUUCAGCAAGGUAUUUUCCGCAAGCACUUAAAUUAUAGGUAACAGAUAGUUUUGUGAUAAGAUAAUUUGUAACGAGAAACAAGUAACAAAAGUAAAUGAAGUGCAGCAAGGUGGCCCAAUCCUUUUUGUAGUAAAGUACAAGCUUGGACAAACUCUUAUAUAGAGAAAAGCGCUCCCGAGGACACAUGGGAAUUAUUGUCAAGCUAGUUUUCAUCACGUUCAUAUGAUUCGCGUUCGGUACUUUGAUAAUUUGAUAUGUGGGUGGACCAGUGCUUGGGUGCUGUCCUUACUUGGACAAGCCUCCCCCUUAUGAUUAACCCCUAUUGCAAGCAUCCGCAACUACAAAAGAAGUAUUAAGGUAAACCUAACCAUAGCAUGAAACAUAUGGAUCCAAAUCAGCCCCUUACGAAGCAACACAUAAACUAGGGUUUAAGCUUCUGUCACUCUAGCAACCCAUCAUCUACUUAUUACUUCCCAAUGCCUUCCUCUAGGCCCAAACAAUGGUGAAGUGUCAUGUAGUCGACAUUCACAUAACACCACUAGAGGAGAGACAACAUACAUCUCAUCAAAAUAUCGAACGAAUACCAAAUCUAAUAGCAAGACUUCUCCCAUGUCCUCAGGAACAAAUGUAACUACUCACAAAGCAUAUUCAUGUUCAUAAUCAGAGGAGUAUUCAUAUGCAUAUAGGAUCUGAACAUAUGAUCUUCCACCAAAUAAACCAACUAGCAUCAACUACAAGGAGUAAUCAACACUACUAGCAACCUAUAGGUACCAAUCCCAGACUUAGAGACAAUAAUUGGAUACAAGAGAUGAACUAGGGUUUGAGAGGAGAUGGUGCUGGUGAAGAUGUUGAUGGAGCUUGGCCCCCUCCCGAUGAGAGGAGCGUUGGUGAUGACGAUGGCGAUGAUUUCUCCCUCCCGGAGGGAAGUGUCCCCGGCAGAACAGCUCUACCGGAGCCCUAGAUUGGUUCCUCCAAGGUUCCGCCUCGUGGCGGCGGAGUCUUGUCCCGAAAGCUUGCUUAUAUUUUUCUUCGGACGAAAGACUUCAUAUAGCAGAAGAUGGGCACCGGAGGGCCAACAGGGGGCCCACGAGGCAGGGGGGCGCGCCCACGGGGUAGGGCGCGCCCCCACCCUCGUGGACAGGGUGUGGGCCCCCUCUGGUAUUUCUUCCGCUCAGUAUUUUUUAUUAUUUCCAAAAACAACUUUCGUGGAGUUUCAGGACUUUUGGAGUUGUGCAGAAUAGGUCUCUAAUAUUUGCUCCUUUUCCAGCCCAGAAUUCCAGCUGCCGGCAUUCUCCCUCCUUAUGUAAACCUUGUAAAAUAAGAGAGAAUAGGCAUAAGUAUUGUGACAUAAUGUGUCUAACAGCCCAUAAUGCAAUAAAUAUCGACAUAAAAGCAUGCUGCAAAAUGGACGUAUCAAUAAUACUGUGCCACUAGGUGAAUUUCUUGAUGAACAACUUGCUAGGGUUAGAGAGAAUGAAAUAACUAAAACUGAUGAUAUUAUUGAAACUGAAGAUUAUGAUUCUCCCCCUAGAUAUGAAUUGCCUGUUGUACUUGAGGGUUAUGUUAUGGAUGAAGAAACUGCUAGAGACUUCUUUGCUUGCGAUGAUAGAGAGGAUCUUAAGAAAUUAUUAGCUAAGCAGAAAGAAAAUCCUUAAAUGCUAGAAUGAAAUAUGAUCCUAAUUUUGCUAAUUCACCUAUCUUUGUUACUAAUAAGGAUUAUGAAUUCUCUGUUGACCCUGAGUUGAUUACUUUGGUUGAAUUUGAUCCUUUCUAUGGUUAUGAAUCUGAAACUGUUGUGGCACAUCUUACUAAAUUGAAUGAUAUAGCCACCCUAUUUGCUCACGAGGAAAAAAUUCACUAUUACUAUAUUCUUAAAUUGUUUCCUUUCUCAUUAAAGGGUGAUGCUAAGAUAUGUUUUAAUUCUCUUGCUCCUGGUUGUGUGCGUAGUCCCCAGGAUAUGAUAUACUACUUCUCUGCAAAAUAUUUCCCCGCUCAUAAGAAACAAGUUGCUUUAAAGGAAAUAUUUAACUUUGUGCAAACUGAAGAAGAGAGUCUCCCACAAGCUUGGGGAGGCUUCUCCAAUUACUUAAUGCUUUGCCUGAUCACCCUCUCAAGAAAAUGAAAUACUUGAUAUCUUUUAUAAUGGACUAACCGAUGCUUCCAGAGACCACCUGGAUAGUUGUGCUGGUUGUGUUUUCAGGGAAAGAACUGCUGAGCAAGCUGAAUUGCUAUUGAAUAAUAUAUUGAGUAAUGAUAAUGAUUGGACACUUCCUGAACCAACUCAUAAGCCAACUUCAAAGAAAAGGGGUUGUCGGGGUACAAAAGUAGGGGCUCUCCUUCUUACCCUUCUACUUGUGCAUGGACAGUCAGAGCCGCACCUGCGGCCACACUUAGCAGGGCAAAGGGAGGAAGCAGAAGCACAAGAAUACUAGAGCAGCGCUCCAGCCAGGAGCACAAGACGGGCAGAGCAACACCAAGACCAGAGACACAAAGAGCAAAAGGGCGAGGUGGACUGUCGGCGUUCUGGGAACGGGGGUCCCCAGACUUGCCUGCCUACGGCCCACGGCGUGGCUUAGCUAGCAGGCCUGUGCGGCCCAUCUUCAUCAACAAGGCAUUCAAGACCCUCACGAGGGGCCAAGCCUCGCGAGGCGGGCGAUGCAAGACCUCCUCCGGAGCCCUUGGGACCUCAUCAGCCGAGCCGGGUGCCGGCACUUCCGGAGACAGCGGGGCCACGGGGGCUGACUCCUCCUGCCGAUGCUCCUCUUGGCCUCGUGAGGGCGACCGGGCUGGGGAGGUGCGAGUGCUGUUGCCUCUCUUCUCCGCAAAGGGGGGAACCAACCUGGCGGCGAUGCUGCUCGUGAAGAAAGGGAAGAAGGUGCUUCCCUCAGGCUCCGGCGCGUCGGAGGCAAGCUGGAGCUCCGUCUUCCCCCUCUCGUUGCUCUCCCCCGCCGUCAGCAAGCGCGUGGCGGCUAGGUUCUUCUCCGUGACGUUGGGCGCAUCAAGGGCUGGCUCGAACCAAGCCAGUGCCGAGGAGGGCUUGACCUUGCGCGGCGCCAUUGGUCGCAGAUGCGGAGCGAGGUUGGAGCGGAUCUGGAGGUUUCGGCAGCAAGGAGCGAGAAAGGGGAUCUGGAGCAAGGCAAGGAAGAAGCAAUGAAGGCAAGCACUGUCUGCGCUAGCCUUUUUGUCAAGUCGGGCAGUUGCUGAGGCAGCGUGGGGAAGCGGAGACGCCCACGUCCAAUCAACCGCCACGCGUCAACCGAGGCCGCAGGCUUUUGGGGCCCGCGGCGCUCCGCGCUUGACCUUUGGCUUCGCAUCGAAGCCAAGCCCGAGCGCUCCUUGGGCCCGGGGGCUACUGUCAGCAUUCUGGGAACGGGGGUCCGCAGACUUGCCUGCCUGCGGCCCACGGCGUGGCUGAGCUAGCAGGCCUGUGCGGCCCAUCUUCAUCAACAAGGCAUUCAAGACCCUCGCGAGGGGCCAAGCCUCGCGAGGCGGGCGACGCAAGACCUCCUCAGGAGCGGCCUCGCCAGGCAGGCUCACGAGGGGCGGAGAGAUCAAGGCAAGGCAAACCUCGCGAGGUUCUCGUGACGUGAGCCACGACGAUGGAGACUAGGCGGGCGCCAGCGCGCGCAGCGUCCUUGUUUCCUCUUUUGUGCCAAGGGGGCAAGCGCAGGCGUGGAGUACCGAGGCAUCAAGCAAAGGUUUCCAUAUCGGCGCAACGAGACCAAGACCAGCAGGAUGGCAAGACGGAGGUCACUAUGGAGCCCAAGAUGGCGUCACCACCAGAGCCUUUUGCAGGCGAAGACCGCUUUUAUCAGGAUAAGCUGUACUAGCUGUCCCCUUUCAAAUUAGCCAUUGUUGGCUCCCUUCCCACUCAAUAUUUGGGGAGAGGACCAGGGCCUAUAUAAGUAGAACUAGCCACCACAGUAGGGGGCAACGAGUCAAGGACUCAUUCAGAGGCAUCUCACCCACACAAGUUCGUCAAGCACAAAAACACCUCAACCUCAGGAGGCUGUUCUUCCCCUUGUACUGUUCAUCAUCUGCCCAAGAGGCAAUCCACCACCACCACACUGGAGUAGGGUAUUACACCAUAACGGUGGCCCGAACCAGUAUAAAUCUUGUGUCUUUGUCUUGUGAGUUCGUCGAGUUCGUCCGCGAGAUCUUAGAGAGCUAGGGCGUGGAUCGGUAAGGAGGUGAUCUUCGCGCGCACCCCAGUGUUCGAACCUCGAGGGUUUUGCCGGAACCCGUGAUCCGACAUUUGGCGCGCCAGGUAGGGGUGCGCCGAAGCUUCCUUCUGUCGCUCCGCGCCGCGUUGCUCCGUCGUCUCCAUGGCAGACGCUCGCCGCGCUCGUGCUGAGCGCCGGGCUACCCUCGCUGCCCGCAUCGCUCAGACGGCUCCCGUCGGCGGGCCACCUCGUCGUUCCCCGUCGCCUGCCGCCAACGCCGCCACCGGCCCGGCGGGGAACGAGCAGCAAGCAUCCUCGCUGCACCCCUCGGUGCGGCGGGACGGCCGCACCGCCACUCCAUUGCUGACCCCGGCUGGUUCUUCUUCCCAUGCAUGUCGCCCUCCCAUGGACGCACGGGCCGCGCUCCUCAUGGCGCACGAGCUCCUGCGCUACCGACCGGUCGACGACCUCUACGAGGACUGGCUCGACCGCAUUGCCGAGCUUGUACGCACCGCAGGGGGCUCCCCUGCGCCGUCCCUCUCUCCGCCUCGCCCUCCGCCAGCUACGGGCGACGUAGCUCACGGAGCGCCUCCACCACCUCUGCCCCAAGACGGCGCCCUGGCGCCAAGGCGCGCGGCUCCACGACGCGACCCGCCGUGUCCCGCGCCCGCGCGUGAAGAAAGAAGCUGUUAAGAAGUCCCUCCGCCGCAAGAAAAUGCUCCACCGCUCCUCGCACCACCACGCCAGGACCGGCUGCUGUGGCAAGACCACGCGCCACGUGUAGCGGCAGGGCACGGACCCCAUCAAGACCAAGCUCCGCCCCCAAGGCGGGCCCCGGUGACCACAACCGGCUGCCACGCUUUCACCCCCGAGCUGCGUAGCGUCGCCUAGCCGGGCAAGUUCAAGCCGGAUCUGCCUCCUCGCUACGACGGCACCCCCGACCCUGUGGAGUUCUUGCAGCUCUACGAGCUGAGCAUCGAAGCGGCCAACGGUGACGAGAAAGUCAUGGCGAACUGGUUUCCCAUGGCUCUCAAGGAUGGCGCCCGCUCCUGGCUCCUGAACCUGCCACCGGGCUCGAUCUCCUCCUGGGACGAGAUGCGCAACCGCUUCGUCGCCAACUUCCAGGGCACUUGUGACCGCCCGCUGGCUGCGGGUGACCUGCGCCGCGUCAAGCAGCAACCGGGAGAGACCCUCCAGAAGUACAUCCAGCGCUUCAACAAUGUCCGCCUCAAGAUCCCCAAGGUCACGGACGAGGCCAUCAUCCCUGCGUUCUCUGAUGGCGUCCGCGACGUCAAGAUGAAGGAAGAGCUCGCUAUCCACGAGGAGCUGUGCACGUCCCUGGAGUUGUUCAACCUGGCGACCAAGUGCGCAAGAGCUGAGGAGGGGCGCCUCUCCCUCCUCGAGCUCCCAGCCGCAGACCCAGAGGAGAAGAAAGCCAAGGCCAAGGACGUGAAGCGCAAGGGAGCAGCCGUGCUCGCAGCGGAACCAGACACCAAGCAUGGCAGAGACCAAGUAGAGUCGUCCAAGAGCAGCCGUCCGUUCUGCGCCUUCCACAACCUGAAUACCCACAACACCAGUGACUGUCAAGAGCUCAGAGCCAUUCGCGAAGGACGCUUCGGUCGACGCUCCAAGCGCGGCGACCGAGGCUACGGCCGAGGAGGAGGACGUGGUGGCGGACGCUAGGACGACCGUGGCCCGCGCCAGGAGUGGCGCGACCGGCCUCGUGAGGACCGCUGGCAGGAUCAGCCUCGCGAGGGCGCCUGGAGGGACCAGCCUCGUGAGGAUCGUCCUCAAGGCAACACCAGACUCCCUCCGCUGCCGCCACCACCAAGAAGGAAUGACGAACACCAUCAAGACGAGGGGGCUGGGGGCUUCGAGGAACCGCGUGCUAUCGCCUGCAGCUUGGGCGGAGCGCAGGCCCCAGCCUUGCAGCGUACCUUCACGCAAUUUGCUCGUGAAGUGAAUGCAGUCCUCCCCAAGCUCGAAGCCACACGCCCGCUCAGAUGGUCCCAGUGCCCCAUCACGUUCAACUCGGCAGAUCGGCUCAAGUGCGCAGCUACCGCUGGCGCCCUCCCGAUGCUUUGCUCCCCAGUCAUCAGCAACGUGCAAGUUACCAAGACCCUCAUCGACGGCGGCGCAGGGCUCAACGUCCUGUCCGUCAACACAUGCGACAACCUCCAAAUGUCAUAUGACCAGCUUCAGCCUACCAAGCCUUUCUCAGGAGUGACCGACGGUUCCACCACACCGAUAGGGCAGGUCCGCCUCCCUGUCACCUUCGGAGAAUGCAAGAACUAUCGCACCAAGCUCAUCGACUUCGACGUCGCGCACAGCCGUCUGCCGUACAAUGCCAUCCUCGGGUAUCCAGCCCUGGCCAAGUUCAUGGCGGUGACCCAUCAUGGCUACAAUGUCCUCAAGAUGCCAGGAAGCGGCGGGAUCAUCACGGUCCCAUGUGAAGAAAGAGAUGCGGUGUGCUCCCUCGAGCGUGCCUUCCCAGCUGCAGUAAUCGACGACCCCGACAGCAAGGGUGAGGGCCCUCCUGAGGUCAUCCCCAAGAAGAAGAAGCAGCUGCGCCGUGCAGGACCUCAGGAGGGUGGCGUCACAGCCGGAGCCUCGUCAGGAUCAGCGCCCGCUCCGGGGGCGCCUCCCUCCAUCGCAUAGGAAGGCGCGCCCGGCGCCCUUCUCGGGCAGGGCUCGGAGGCUUUCUUCUGGAAGGCCUCAGACCUUGCCCACAUCACGAGGGAGGCGCUUGGGCACCACUUGGAGGCGUGCUUCGCGGCACGUUUCCCUCAGGAGGGCACAGGGCAAGGAUCGCCCACCAUUCAGGAGUUCAUCACCAAGACCACCCAUGAAUUGCAAGACGCAAGGGCCAUGCGCGGCGACCGCCGCUCACGAGGCGCAGCUUCCCAUCCAGGCGAAGAUGCCGGACUGCCGUCUGCAUCGACGUUCCAGGGCUCAACAGGGCCGCUUCUCAGGAGCUUUUCUGGCCUUCGCGCGUGGGACGCUGCGAGGGCCCACCGCACAGCUACGUUCGCAUGCCCUUCGGCCUGCCGAGCGUGUCGUCCGCCUACCAGCGCAACUUGCGGCGCAUACUAGCGGCUCAGGAGGCCAGGCACCACGCCGUCCUGACGGAGAUGGAGACGGUCCUCAAGGAACCACCUGAGCCCUCAGAGCCUCCUGAGGCUCAGGGCCCCGGUGGCUCGUGAGGAGCAACCCCUUCGCUGCGCACCUUCAGCUGCCCAACUCUCCUUCAUCAACAGAACUAGGUGACAUUUUCCAAGUUUAUUUAGCUGGGAGCGCCCCUCGGGCUGCAUCAUUCCUAGGCGCGUGGGUCCGUCCCUGUGGCAUGUAUCCUUUUUAUGUUUUUAGCUUACCGUGUUGGGAGCGCCCCUCGGGCUGCAUCAUCCCCAAGCCGCUCACGCCUGACCCAGUGGCAUGUAUCUCCCAUGCAUUUACUUAAGCCUGCUGCUUUCAUGUUUAACCUACCUAUGAUUACUGCUUGCUCGAUCGCCACCCAUCAUGUGGACCGCGCGCCGACCGUCUUUCUUCAGGACCCUUCGCGUGAGUAAGUUGAGCACGGCGUCUGUGCUCGGGCCCGUCCCUGCAGCGUCGAUAAAUACAAUGGCUGAGCUCUGUUUGGCGGGCCGGCCCCAUUUACAUCACCUCCUGGGGCCGUUGGUGCUUGGCUUUCUCACGUGAUAACCUCAGGAGAUUCGUUCGGCGCAGGUUGUCUGACCACCUCGCAUGACCAGCACAGCGAACAAGAACCAAGACCAGGUGCAACCCGCCUUGAGGUAGGGCCUCGUGAGUCCCGCGCUGGCUCACGAGUGCCUAGAUACACCUCGUCUAGCCCUGUCGUGCAAGCCACGUGUCAGGGCGGGGCUGUACACGCCCCGGGGGCUCUCCGCAGUGGGAGCCCCCCUCCCACGCACAAGUGGAAGCACCAUGCUCCGCGCUGGCUGUCGACACUGCCGAGGAGCGGCUAUGCCCGUGCACAAGCGGAAGCACUAUGCUCCGCGCUCGUGAUAAACAACUGAGGGUGGCUUCACGGUCGUACCAACCUCAGGGAGCCCCAGAGCUCAACGUCCGGCCUCACCGCAACGCCUCCCCUCGGGAGAGCCGCGCGAGGGGGCUGGGCACGGGGGCUGCGCUCGGGUCACGCCCAACCGUACGCCACCCAACCAGGUCUCCCAGACCUGGGGGCUGCGCUCGGGUCACGCCCAAGCGGACGCCACCCAACCAGGUCUCCCGGACCUGGGGGCUGCGCUCGGGUCACUCCCAAGCGCACGCCACCCAACCAGGUCUCCCGGACCUGGGGGCUGCGCUCGGGUCACGCCCAAGCGCACGCCACCCAACCAGGUCUCUCGGACCUGGUCGUCGCACGCCCCUCCCGAGCCGAGCCUCGGCGAGGGCAAAGGUAUAGAGAUUGUUUGCACGUCAAGGGGGACUCCUGGGCAUCGCGACUCAGGAGCCUAACUGGUCACGUAGCCCCUCAUUCCUUGGUCCGUCCUGGUCUCCGGUCAGCCCAACGGCGGUUGAGGUGUGCGCGGGGCCGGGCUCUGCCGACGUAGAACAUUAACCUAUCCUCGUGUACUCUCCCUAUAAGCUGUUUGUGCGUCAAGGGGGACUCCUGAGCAUCGCGACUCAGGAGCCUAACUGGUCAUGUAGCCCCUCACUCCUUGGUCCGUCCUGGUCUUCGGUCGGCCCAACGGUGGUUGAGGUAUGCGCGGGGCCGGGCUCUGCCGACACAGAACACAAAGCAAAUAGGAAGAAAAUCGCAAAAUCUCGAAGCAAAUAUUACAAGACAUAUUGUCCUCACAAUAUCAAAUGAAAGUUUUAACGCCUCCACGAGGCCUGAUGCGUAUUGCAGGAAUGAAGCAGGAAAGCAGCCGCAGGUCACCCCUGGACACCGCCAUCACCUGCAGAAGGUGCUACUCCCUUGGUAGCAUCGUCUUCACCUGCACCACCAGCUGCAGGAUCGGUGGCAUCACUGGUCGAGGGCGCGAGGACGAAGCCGUGGAACUUCUUCAGUAGGGCCUCCACCUGACCUUUCACGGCUGCGGCGGCGGCCGCACAAUGUUCAUCAGUUACAGGCUCCAGCAGCUCAUCGAGACGAGCAUUGGGGUCGCGAAGGUACAGAUGGCUGAAGACACGCGUCAGCGCAACUGAAGAAAGGACACGAGCCUCUGCCUCAGCCAUGGGACCGAUGCCCUCCACGACUUCCUCAAGCGCCUUCACCAAGUGGGGAAGCAGCUGAGCAGGGCCAUCCUCGUCGGUGGUCAGCGGCUUCUCCAGGCCCUUCUCGUACAGUUACUUUAGCGCCACGCUGGACCUCUUCUCAAGAAGCGAGAAGGCCACGCGGUCUUCGGCCAGGACCUUCGCCUUGGCGUCGAGCUCGGCCUCCCUCGCCUUCGCCUUCUGCUCCAGCUCCUCCAGUCGGCUGCGCUCCGCGGCCUGCACCUUCGUCAGCUCCCCCAGCUCGGCAUCGUGGCCCUUGAUGGCGUCCUCUCGAGCCUUCAUCUCCUCCUCCUUCGCUUUGCGGUCACGUGCUUCUUUUGCGCGCUCGUCGUGUAGGCUCUUCAGCUCACCCUCCAGCUUUCGGCAGCGGUCGUGGGCGGCCUCGGCGUCCUUCAGCGCCGCCUCGCGAUCAGCCGCAGCUCUAGUGGCGGCCUGCUUCUCCUUCUUGGAGGCCGCCAUGGCCUGGCUCAACGACGCUCGAACUGCCGAGUCGAAGUGAAGCCAGCUUGAGGCCAGCUCCAGGCGCCCGGCUACUAGGUGCGGGUCCGCGCCUAGGAGGUCUUCCUGCAGCUUGGCCAUCCCUGAGAAGACACGCUCUAAGACUACGGAGGGAGCAGAAGAAUUUGGGGCCAGAGGCGCAGCAGGAGGAGGAGGCGACGUCGUUACCAGAGCCUGGAAGGUCGAGGGCUCCGGAGCCCUUGGGACCUCAUCAGCCGAGUCGGGUGCCGGCACUUCCGGAGACAGCGGGGCCACGGGGGCUGACUCCUCCUGCCGAUGCUCCUCUCGGCCUCGUGAGGGCGACCGGGCUGGGGAGGUGCGAGUGCUGUCGCCUCUCUUCUCCGCAAAGGGGGGAACCAACCCGGCGGCGAUGCUGCUCGUGAAGAAAGGGAAGAAGGUGCUUCCCUCAGGCUCCGGCGCGUCGGAGGCAAGCUGGAGCUCCGUCUUCCCCCUCUCGUUGCUCUCCCCCGCCGUCAGCAAGCGCGUGGCGGCUAGGUUCUUCUCCGUGACGUUGGGCGCAUCAAGGGCUGGCUCGAACCAAGCCAGCGCCGAGGAGGGCUUGACCUUGCGCGGCGCCAUUGGUCGCAGAUGCGGAGCGAGGUUGGAGCGGAUCUGGAGGUUCCGGCAGCAAGGAGCGAGAAAGGGGAUCUGGAGCAAGGCAAGGAAGAAGCAAUGAAGGCAAGCACUGUCUGCGCUAGCCUUUUUGUCAAGUCAGGCAGUUGCUGAGGCAGCGUGGGGAAGCGGAGACGCCCACGUCCAAUCAACCGCCACGCGUCAACCGAGGCCACAGGCUUUUGGGGCCCGCGGCGCUCCGCGCUUGACCUUUGGCUUCGCAUCGAAGCCAAGCUCGAGUGCUCCUUGGGCCCGGGGGCUACUGUCGGCGUUCUGGGAACGAGGGUCCCCAGACUUGCCUGCCUGCGGCCCACGGCGUGGCUGAGCUAGCAGGCCUGUGCGGCCCAUCUUCAUCAACAAGGCAUUGAAGACCCUCGCGAGGGGCCAAGCCUCGCGAGGCGGGCGACGCAAGACCUCCUCAGGAGCGGCCUCGCCAGGCAGGCUCACGAGGGGCGGAGAGAUCAAGGCAAGGCAAACCUCGCGAGGUUCUCGUGACGUGAGCCAUGACGACGGAGACCAGGCGGGCGCCAGCGCGCGCAGCGUCCUUGUUUCCUCUUUUGUGCCAAGGGGGCAAGCGCAAGCGCGGAGUACCGAGGCAUCAAGCAAAGGUUUCCAUAUCGGUGCAACGAGACCAAGGCCAACAGGAUGGCAAGACGGAGGUCACCAUGGAGUCCAAGACGGCGUCACCACCAGAGCCUUUUGCAGGCAAAGACCGCUUUUGUCAGGAUAAGUUGUACUAGCUGUCCCCUUUCAAAUUGGACGUUGUUGGCUCCCUUCCCGCUCAAUAUUUGAGGAGAGGACCAGGGCCUAUAUAAGUAGAACUAGCCACCACAGUAGGGGGCAACGAGUCAAGGACUCAUUCAGAGGCAUCUCCCCCACACAAGUUCGUCAAGCACAAGAACACCUCAACCUCAGGAGGCUGUUCUUCCCCUUGUACUGUUCAUCAUCAGCCCAAGAGGCAAUCCACCACCACCACACUGGAGUAGGGUAUCACACCACAACGGUGGCCCGAACCUGUAUAAAUCUUGUGUCUUUGUCUUGUGAGUUCGCCGAGUUCGUCCGCGAGAUCUUAGAGAGCUAGGGCGUGGAUUGGUAAGGAGGAGAUCUUCGCGCGCACCCCAGUGUUCGAACCUCGAGGGUUUUGCCGGAACCCGUGAUCCGACAUGGACUCCCCCGGCAAGACCCUUGCCGGGGCGGCCUCCGCAGCCCCGACAAGAGCCUUGUCGGAGCAGCUUGCCCAACGCCAGCAGAGCGCGCCACCCUUGAGCCCAAAGGUUCCAACACCACCAACCACAUUGCAACCAAGGCUCGGGAGGCACCUCCAUGGUGGCAUGCAGAUCUUUGUGAAGAUCAUAAGCACACAAGAUCAGACGAGGACCAGAAGACGACGAUCCUCGACAAGAUCCUUGCCGAGGAAAUCCACGAGACCCCCGGCAAGAUCCUUGACGGGGACGACCGCGACACCCCGGCAAGACCCUUGCCGAGGACACCUACGGGGCCACAGCCAAACCCACGUCUGCCAAGACUCCACCGCCGUUCCGAUACAGCUGCCAGCCCAACCAGUUGGGUAGGCAUCUGCGUGGCAACGUGCGGCCUCCAGGCCAACUCAGCAAGCACCUGUGUGGUGGCAUGCAGAUCUUCGUGAAGACCCUACCACCACGCCAUCUCAGCAGCCUGCCAGCCUACGUGGCACUGCAUGCCUCGUUGGCCUGGACGCGUGUCGGAGCAAGGCGGAGCGGCGACGGACGGGACGGGCCUCGUUGCCGUCCCCGAUAAAGCAAUGGGACACCUAAGGAGCACAUUUAAUGUGCCUUGUCCCGUAAUGACAGGCGAUAAGCUUGUACACUGUAUACCUUUCCACCUCCUGUGUGCCACUGUGGCGGCCCCUUUUGACUAUAAAAGGAGGCCCGAGGCGCACUGGAGAAGGAUUCGAAUCUUUUGGACUACGCACGCACCACAGCUAGUUUGAAAGCUCAAGAACACUCAAAUAUACACCAAAGCAGGACUAGGGUAUUACGCAUCCUCGCGGCCCGAACCUGGGUAAAUGAUCCUUGUGUUGACUACCAGACCCGCUCUUUGCACAACCCGUGCCCGCCAACCGUAGAAGGGAUCCCAGUGAUUCCAUAGGUGUCGUUUCCACCGACAUCUUUGGCGCGCCAGGUAGGGGGCGCGGUUGUGGAAAUCCGGUCCAGCAGUUAGUUUAGCAGUCUUUCAUCGCCAUGGCUCCCAAGAAGAAGACGAUCACGGCAAUCGAUUCAUCGGGAGCCGAACGGCCCGUACCAGUGCGGGCGAGUGGUGGGGCGGUCGCGGACGGAAGCCGAGGCGCGGCCCGCGAACACCCACAUCGCUCUGGCAGUCAAAGCCUGGUGAGCGGCAUCGUUCGUGCGUGAGACGACGGGUCGCACGCCACAAUAUCCAAAGACGGAGCCGGGGCCCCCGCAGGCGGUGCGGAGCCCUCCAAGGACAGCGUCGUGCCACCCAUGGGCGGCGCGGCGACUUCCAAGACGCCUAAGCCGGCGCCCACGACGCGCUCUUCCCAAGUUGUGCGCGACGAGCAGCGUCACCACGCUGGUGACCCCGGGUGCCACCGUGGGAAGAGUCCUGUGCCUCACUUGCGGGGCGUAGAAGGCCAGCAUGCACGCCGAGGCGCUGGCGAAAAUGGCACACAACCGCAAGGCCAUGAUAGAGCUCCUUCUAACGUGGUUAGAAAUCGGAGCGCGUCACGGUCCACGCAGCUUUCGCCGCCACCCACACCAGCAGAAGCUUUGGCGCGCGCGCAGUUGCUCCUCGACUUUCCUCCUGCUGCGGAAAAGCUCAAUGAUUGGAGAGCCACCAUCUGGAGCCUCGUCGGCGUUGCCAACAAAGAUGAUCCGCGACCAGCGGGGCCCUCAGGCCGGCGCUCCGUCGAGCCACCGCAUGCCAGUGGUGGAAGGACCGGAGGUGCUGCGGCCACGGUGCACUCUCCCCCCCACAUCAGCUAUCGCGGGUGUCGGUCCGUCGUGAUGACGCUUGUGAUAACAUCUCCAUAGCGUCGUCCGACCCACGGACCCAUCGCGAUCAGCGCCAAGUUCUUCGGGAGCGAGCCCAUGAAGACGCUCGAACUACCAUCGAGCGGCGGCGCGAAGCGCGCCAUCAGUCCGAUAGGCGAGCGGGACCCGCUACGGACCACCCAGCUCCGGGGGGCUCCGGUGGCCUACCUUACGAGGUGGGUUGCCCAGCCUUCACCCGUGAGCUGCGACAGUUCAAGUGGCCCUCCCACCGCACGUUCAAGUCCGACGUUGGCGACAAGUACAACGACAAGACCCACCCGUCGGAGUUCCUCAACAUCUACACCAUCGCGAUGCAAGCUGCUGGAGCUCGCAACGACAAGGUGCUUGCCAAUUACUUCCCGUUGGCACUUAAACCCAAUGUCAUGUCAUGGUUGAUGCACUUCCCGGCGGAUUCCAUUUCUUCUUGGUCGGAUUUGUGUCAUGAGUUCGUUGGCGCCUUCACCGGAGGCCACCAAGCUCAUGGCCAGGCAAGCGAUUUGCAUAUCAUCCCCCAGAAGGAAGGUGAAACCCGGCGCAAGUACAUACAGAGGUUCAGCCGGGUGCAGUACAACAUCCCGGAUGUUCAUCCCGCCGCCGUGAUCAUCGCAUUCCAUCAGAAUGUGCGCAACCGCAAGAUGCGUGAAGAGCUGGCGAUGAACAAGGUCAAAGAUGUGGUCGAACUUUAUGUUCUGGCCGAUAGGUGCGCUCGAGCUGGAGAGGGGAGGAAGUACUCCGGCGAGGACGCCGGCGCGGAAACCGACUCCACAGACGAAGACACAGCCGCCCCGACGAAGAAGGGCCGGCGCCGCAACAGGAAGCGCAAGGGCAAGACCGUGCUUGCCAUCGAGGGAUCCGAGGACACCGACACCGCCAAGAAGGCCAAGGCAGACGACCCCGGCAAGGAAAUUGCCGGGUGCGCUGCUUGCCGGGCCUUAGCGGCUGCCGACAAGCCAGGAGGCUCCGACAAGCAAUACUGCAAGAUCCACCGCACCAAGGGCCAUGACCUCCAAAACUGCCGGCAAGUUGAGCUGCUUGCUGAGAAGCAAAAAGCUGAGUAUGAGAGGCGGGACAAGGAGAAGGGUCAGGAUGGUGCCGAGGGAUCCGGUAAGAAGCGUGGCGGCCAAGGAGGUCGCCGCGACAAGGAUAACCAGCAAAAGAGGCCCGCUUGGGGCCGCGACAAGAAGCAAGAAGAUGAUGAUCGUGACGAGGACGAUGAGUCCGGCAAGCAUGAGUUCCAAAAAGCUACGGAGGCCAUGUGCGUCGACGGUGGCACCUCGCUGCACACCUCUCAUCGCCAGCUCAAGCAGUGGGUGCGUGAGAUCACAGCAGCGGAACCAUCAUUCGAUGCUCAAAAACCACCGAAGUGGUCCAGCACGCCUAUCAUUUUUGACACCGAGGACCACCCUGAUCGCACAACUGCGGUCGGGUGUUUGCCGUUGUUGGUUUCACCAACAAUACGCAACCUCAAGGUGACAAAAAUGCUAGUUGACGGCGGGGCCGGUCUGAACUUGAUCUCGCCUGUUGUGAUCAAAAGGCUACAGAUUCCUGAUGGAGACCUCGAAGAGACAGGCACUUUUCAAGGGGUCAACCCGGGAAGGAGUCAGCCGAAGGGUAAGGUCACGCUGCCCGUGACGUUUGGAGGCGAGUUAAACUAUUGGACGGAGAGGAUUGUUUUCGAUGUAGCCGAGAUCCCCUUGCCCUGCAACGGGAUCCUCGGCCGCCCAACACUGCCAAGUUCAUGGCGGCCUCACAUUACGCCUACAACACACUGAAGAUGCUCGGGCCGAUGACCAUCAUCGCCGUCCCCUCCGACAAGAAGGAUGCGCUGAUCUGCGCUGACCAACUCUACCGGGAGGCAGUUGCGGCGACUGCCGCCAAGGCACUUGCUCCUGCCGCUGAAGCCCCGGGAGGGAAGAAGACCGGCAAGACCUCUCGCACCCACUCCGGCAAGCGCACCUCUUUGGAGUGUAGUGCUCCCAUCGAGGACGUGCCAGAGAGCUCCACCGGCAAGAGCAAGAAAUCCAGAGCUGCACCACCAGAGACCAAGAAGGUGUCCAUCAAGGAGGAUGGCACAGGAGGGGCUUUUACCAUAAGCUCCACCCUCAAAAGCAAAUAGGAAGGCGUGCUCAUCACUUUCCUAUGGGCGAAUGUCGAUGUGUUUGCGUGGCAAGCAUCCGACAUCCCCGGCGUUCCCAGGGAGGUGAUUGAGCACCAUCUUGCUGUAUGUCCUCAUGCGCGAUCCGACAAGCAGAAGGUCAGGAAGCAAGCUCUGGAAUGGCAAGAGUUCAUCACAGAGGAAAUCAGGAAGUUGGAAGCGGCAUGCUUGGUAAGAGGGGUACUCCAUCCGACGUGUCUGGCCAAUCCGGUGGUGGUGCGCAAGGCAAAUGGGAAGUGGAGACUGUGUAUUGAUUACACAAACAUCAAUAAGGCUUGUCCAAAGGACCCUUUCCCGUUACCGCGGCCGGGUGUGACUUGUUAUCAUUCCUCGACGCUUAGUCGGGAUACCACCAGAUCUUCAUGACGAAAGAAGAUGAAGAGAAGACAUCAUUCAUCACCCCAUGUGGUACGUAUUAUUUUUUACGAAUGCCUUUCGGGUUGAAGAGUGCUGGCUCAACGUUUGCAAGAGCAGUCCAAAUUGGUUUUGAGCCUCAGCUGCACAGAAAUAUGGAAGCUUAUAUGGAUGACAUAGUGGUCAAAACCAAGGACAGGGCAACACUCGUACAAGAUUUAGAAGAGAUGUUUGCAAAUUUGCGCAAGAUCAACCUCAAGCUGAACCCUGAGAAGUGUGUCUUCGGCAUUCCGUCCAGCAAACUUCUCGACUUAUCGUGUUCUUUGUGUCACAGCGUGGGAUCGAGGCGAAUCCAGAUAACAUCAAGGCCAUUGAGCAAAUUGAGGCGCCUAAGCAGAUCAAGGAUGUGCGUCGGCUCACUGGUUGCGUUUGAAGCAAAUAUGCCCUAGAGGCAAUAAUAAAGUUAUUAUUUAUUUCCUUAUAUCAUGAUAAAUGUUUAUUAUUCAUGCUGGAAUUGUAUUAACCGGAAACUUGAUACAUGUGUGAAUACAUAGACAAACAGAGUGUCACUAGUAUGCCUCUACUUGACUAGCUCGUUGAUCAAAGAUGGUUAUGUUUCCUAGCCAUAGACAUGAGUUGUCAUUUGAUUAACGGGAUCACAUCAUUAGGAGAAUGAUGUGAUUGACUUGACCCAUUCCGUUAGCUUAGCACUCGAUCGUUUAGUAUGUUGCUAUUGCUUUCUUCAUGACUUAUACAUGUUCCUAUGACUAUGAGAUUAUGCAACUCCCGUUUACCGGAGGAACACUUUGUGUGCUACCAAACGUCACAACGUAACUGGGUGAUUAUAAAUGUGCUCUACAGGUGUCUCCGAAGGUACUUGUUGGGUUGGCGUAUUUCAAGAUUAGGAUUUGUCACUCCGAUUGUCGGAGAGGUAUCUCUGGGCCCACUCGGUAAUGCACAUCACUAUAAGCCUUGCAAGCAUUGCAACUAAUGAGCUAGUUGCGGGAUGAUGUAUUACGGAACGAGUAAAGAGACUUGCCGGUAACGAGAUUGAACUAGGUAUUGAGAUACCGACGAUCGAAUCUCGGGCAAGUAACAUACCGAUGACAAAGGGAACAACAUAUGUUGUUAUGCGGUUUGACCGAUAAAGAUCUUCGUAGAAUAUGUGGGAGCCAAUAUGGGCAUCCAGGUCCCGCUAUUGGUUAUUGACCGGAGACGUGUCUCGGUCAUGUCUACAUAGUUCUCGAACCCGUAGGGUCCGCACGCUUAACGUUACGAUGACAGUUUUAUUAUGAGUUUAUGAGUUUUGAUGUACCGAAGGAGUUCGGAGUCCCGGAUGAGAUCGGGGACAUGACGAGGAGUCUCGAAAUGGUCGAGACGUAAAGAUCGAUAUAUUGGACGACUAUAUUCGGACAUCGGAAAGGUUCCGAGUGAUUCGGGUAUUUUUCGGAGUACCGGAGAGUUACGGGAAUUCGUAUUGGGCCUUAAUGGGCCAUACGGGAAAGGAGAGAAAGGCCCCAAAGGGUGGCCGCACCCCUCCCAUGGACUAGUCCGAAUUGGACUAGGGAGGGGGGGCGCCCCCUUCCUUCCUUCUCCUUCUCCCUUCCCUUCUCCUACUCCAACAAGGAAAGGAGGAGUCCUACUCCCGGUGGGAGUAGGACUCCCCCCUUGGCGCGCCCUCCUCCUAGGCCGGCCGCCUCCCCCCUUGCUCCUUUAUAUACGGGGGCAGGGGGCACCUCUAGACACACAAUUGAUCAACGAUCUUUUAGCCGUGUGCGGUGCCCCCCUCCACCAUAUUACACCUCGAUAAUAUCGUAGCGGUGCUUAGGCGAAGCCCUGCGUCGGUAGAACAUCAUCAUCGUCACCACGCCGUCGUGCUGACGAAACUCUCCCUCAACACUUGGCUGGAUCGGAGUUCGAGGGACGUCAUCGAGCUGAACGUGUGCUGAACUCGGAGGUGCCGUACGUUCGGUACUUGAUCGGUCGGAUCGUGAAGACGUACGACUACAUCAACCGCGUUGUGUUAACGCUUCUGCUUUCGGUCUACGAGGGUACGUGGACAACACUCUCCCCUCUCGUUGCUAUGCAUCACCAUGAUCUUGCGUGUUCGUAGGAUUUUUUUUGAAAUUACUACGUUCCCCAACAGCGUUGCCGCGAUGAGCAGGUUCAUCUCCAAGUCUGCCGAGCGUGCCCUUCCCUUUUUCAAAAUCUUGAAGAAGGCGGGCCCAAUGGAAUGGACCCAGAGGCCAAGGCAGCCCUGCAGGAUUUGAAGAAGUACUUCUCCUCUACGCCAAUACUGGUUGCGCCUAAGCCACAAGAACCGUUGCUGCUAUAUCUAGCGACAACGAACAUGGUCAGCGUCGCGCUAGUGGCGCAGAGGGAGGUCGAUGAAGAGGCAGUGGCAACGGCAGGGCUGGCGGAUGGCAAACCAGAGCUCCCCCCGGCAGGGCCUGGUGCCGGUAAGGCAAGGCCCUGGCGGAGUCUGGCGCUGGCGAAGCAGAAGCGACGCAACCAAAUGAAAUAGUGCAGAAGAAGAAGAUGAUGCAGCACCCGGUUUACUUUGUCAGCUCCCUCUUGCAGGGGGCUAGGUCAAGGUACUCCGGUGUGCAGAAAUUGCUCUUCGACCUCCUUAUGGCCUCGAGGAAGCUGCGUCAUUACUUCCAAGCACACGAAAUCACCGUCGUCACCCGCCUCCCAUUGCAACAGAUAUUGCAUAACCCAGACGCAACCAGGAGGAUCGUGGAAUGGGCCUUGGAACUAUCGAGCUUUGGUUUGAAGUUUGAAAGUACUUCGACAAUCCAGAGUAGAGUCUUGGCAGAGUUCAUUGCAGAAUGGACCUCAACGCCCGACGAGGAGAUCCAGGAGACCACUCUUCCCGGCAAGGGAACAAGUCGCAACUGGAUUAUGUACUUUGACGGGGCUUUCUCGCUGCAAGACGCCGGUGCUGGUGUGCUGCUCGUUGCACCCACCGGAGAGCACCUCAAGUAUGUAGUCCAGAUGCACUUUCCCAGGGAGAUGUCGACGAACAACACUGCUGAAUACGAGGGGUUGCUUGCCGGUCUCAGGAUCGCGGCAGACCUCGGAAUCAAGAAGCUCAUCGUCAGGGGUGAUUCACAGCUUGUCGUCAAGCAAGUUAACAAAGAUUAUCAAAGCCCAUUGAUGGAGUCCUACGUAGAUGAAGUGAGGAAGCUGGAAGAGCGUUUUGAUAGUAUACAAGCAGAGCAUGUUCCCUGAGUAGAGAACGGCAUCGCCGACUACUUGUCGAAAUGUGCUGCCUUCAAAUUGCCUGUGGAACCAGGUACUUUUGUGCUUCGGUUAACUCAACCAUCCGUUGAACCAUCAACAGGGCAGAACAAGCGGAGGAAAUCGGGCCCCGGCAAGUACUUUCCCACCGAGCUCCCAGGAGCCACCGGUAAAGAUGUUUCUGUGGACACUGAGCCUGCCAUUGGGCAACAGACUCCGGCAGGGCGUCAAGCCCUGGCCGUAGAGACAACCGCUCCCAUGGCGAAGGAAAUGCCUUUGGUCCUUGUUGUCGAGCCCUAGGCUCCGGCAUGGGCACAACAUACUGUCCGGUUCCUCCAAACAUGGGAACUCCCUAAGGAGCAGGAAGAAGCGAAGAAAGUAGCCCGUCAGUCUACCAUGUAUCAGUUCAUCGACGAUGUUCUGCACAGAAAAAUACCAAACGGUGUGAAAUUGAAGUGCAUUCCCCGGGAGGAAGGACUGGAGCUGUUGGCAGAGAUACACGGAGGCAUAUGUGGCUCCCACAUAGGGUCGAGGGCCCUUGCCGGCAAGGCAUUCCGGCAAGGUUUCUUCUGGCCCACAACCCUCCAGGAUGCAACAGCGCUAGUAACCAAGUGUAAAGCGUGCCAGUUCCAUUCAAAGAAGCUUCAUCAACUAGCUCAAGCUCUCCAAACAAUCCCUCUUUCCUGGCCAUUCUCGGUCUGGGGGCUCGACAUACUGGGUGUUGGGGAACGUAGCAGAAAUUCCAAAAUUUUCCUACGUGUCACCAAGAUCAAUCUAGGAUAUGCUAGCAAUGAGAGGGGAGGAGUGCAUCUACAUACCCUUGUAGAUCGCGAGCAGAAGCGUUCAAGAGAACGGGGUUGAUGGAGUCGUACUCGUCGUGAUCCAAAUCACCGAUGAUCCUAGCGCCGAACGGACGGCACCUCCGCGUUCAACACACGUACGGAGCGGGGACGUCUCCUCCUUCUUGAUCCAGCAAGGGGGAGGAGAAGUUGAUGGAGAUCCAGCAGCACGACGGCGUGGUGGUGGAAGUAGCGGGAUCCCGGCAGGGCUUCGCCAAGCGCAAGCGGGGAGGAAGAGGUGUCACGGGAGGGAGGGAGGCGCCAGGGCUUGGGGUGCUGCUCCCAUGCGCCUCCCCACUAUAUAUAGGGGUGGAGGGGGCUGGUUUCUUGCCCUCCAAGUCCAUUGGGGCGUUGGCAAAGAUGGGGGAAAGAAAUCCCAUCAUUUCCCUUCCCCACCGAUUGUUAUCCCCCCUUUUUAGGGAUCUUGAUCUUAUCCCUUCGGGAUAUGAUCUUAUUCCUUCUAUAAGGUGGGAUCUUGGUGCGCCUUGACCAGGGGUGUGGGGCCUUGCCCCCAGUACCCACGUUCAUGUGGGUCCCCCAUGCAGGUGGGCCCCACUUCGGAAUCUUCUAGAACCUUCCCGGUACAAUACCGAAAAAUCCCGAACAUUUUCCGGUGGCCAAAAUAGGACUUCCCAUAUAUAAAUCUUUACCUCCGGACCAUUCCGGAACUCCUCGUGACGUUCGAGAUCUCAUCCGGGACUUCGAACGACUUUCGGAUUUCCGCAUACUAAUAUCUCUACAACCCUAGCGUCACCGAACCUUAAGUGUGUAGACCCUACGGGUUCGGGAGACAUGCAGACAUGACCGAGACGACUCUCCGGUCAAUAACAAACAGCGAGAUCUGGAUACCCAUGUUGGCUCCCACAUGUUCCACGAUGAUCUCAUCGGAUGAACCACGAUUUCGAGGAUUCAAUCAAUCCCGUAUACAAUUCCCUUUGUCAAUCGGUACGUUACUUGCCCGAGAUUCGAUCGUCGGUAUCCCAAUACCUUGUUCAAUCUCGUUACCGGCAAGUCACUUUACUCGUACCGUAAUGCAUGAUCCCGUGACCAAACACUUGGUCGCAUUGAGCUCAUUAUGAUGAUGCAUUACCGAGUGGGCCCAGAGAUACCUCUUCGUCAUACGGAGUGACAAAUCCCAGUCUCGAUUCGUGCCAACCCAACAGACACUUUCGGAGAUACCUGUAGUGCACCUUUAUAGCCACCCAGUUACGUUGUGAUGUUUGGUACACCCAAAGCAUUCCUACGGUAUCCGGGAGUUGCACAAUCUCAUGGUCUAAGGAAAUGAUACUUGACAUUAGAAAAGCUCUAGCAAACGAACUACACGAUCUUGUGCUAUGCUUAGGAUUGGGUCUUGUCCAUCACAUCAUUCUCCUAAUGAUGUGAUCCCGUUAUCAAUGACAUCCAAUGUCCAUAGUCAGGAAACCAUGACUAUAUGUUGAUCAACGAGCUAGUCAACUAGAGGCUCACUAGGGACAUGUUGUGGUCUAUGUAUUCACACAUGUAUUACGGUUUCCAGUUAAUACAAUUAUAGCAUGAACAACAGACAAUUACCAUGAACAAGGAAAUACAAUAAUAACCAUUUUAUUAUUGCCUCUAGGACAUAUUUCCAACAGUUUCCCACUUGCACUAGAGUCAAUAAUCUAGUUCACAUCACCAUGUGAUUAACACUCAAAGUUCACAUCGCCAUGUGACUAAUACCCAAGAGUUUACUAGUCAAUAAUCUAGUCCACAUCACCAUGUGAUUAACACUCAAUGAGUUCUAGGGUUUGAUCAUGUUAUGCUUACGAGAGAGGUUUUAGUCAACGGGUCUACAACAUUCAGAUCCGUGUGUGCUUUACAAAUCUCUAUGUCAUCUUGUAGAUGUAGCUACCACGCGCCACUUGGAACUAUUCCAAAUGACUGCUCUACUAUACGAAUCCGGUUUACUACUCAGAGUCAUCCGGAUUAGUGUCAAAGUUUGCAUCGACGUAACCCCUUACGACGAACUCUUUUACCACCUCCAUAAUCGAGAAAAUUCCUUAGUCCACUAGAUACUAAGGAUAAGUUCGACCGCUGUCAUGUGAUCCAUUCCUGGAUCACUCUUGUACCCCUUGGCUGACUCAUGGCAAGGUACACUUCAGGUGCGGUACACUGCAUAGCAUACUGUAGAGCCUACGUCUAAAGCAUAGGGGACGACCUUCGUCCUUUCUCUCUCUUCUGCCGUGGUCAGGCCUUGAGUCUUACUCAAUACUCACACCUUGUAACACAGCCAAGAACUCCUUCUUUGCCGAUCUAUUUUGAACUCCUUCAAAAUCCUGUCACGGUAUGUAUUCAUUUGAAAGUACUAUUAAGUGUUUUUGAUCUAUCCUUAUAGAUCUUGAUGCUCAAUGUUCAAGUAGCUUAAUACAGGUUUUCCAUUGAAAAACACUUUUCAAAUAACCCUGGAUGCUUUCCAGAAAUUCUACAUCAUUUCUGAUCAACAAUAUGUUAACAACAUAUACUCAUCAAAAAUUCUAUAGUGCUCCCACUCACUUCUUUGGAAAUACAAGUUUCUCAUGAACCUUGUAUAAACCCAAAAUCUUUGAUCAUCUCAUCAAAGCGUUCAUUCCAACUCCGAGAUGCUUACUCCAAUCCUUAGAAGUAUUGCUGGAGCUUUGCAUACUUGUUAGCAUCUUUCAGGAUUGACAAAACCUUCUGGUUGUAUCACAUACAACCUUUCCUCAAGAAAAUCGUCGAGGAAACAAUGUUUUGACAUCCUAUCUGCAAGAUUUCAUAAAUAAUGCAGUAACUGCUAAUAUAAUUCUAACAGACUCUUAGCAUCGCUACGAGUGAGAAAGUCUCAUCGCAGUCAACUCCUUGAACUUGCCGGAAAACAUCUUAACGACAAGUCGAGCUUUCUUAAUGGUGACACUUACCAUCAUUGUCUGUCUUCCCUUUAAAAUCCAUCUGUACCCAACAGCCUUACGACCAUCAAGUAGUUCUUUCAAAGUCUAUACUUUGUUUUCAUACAUGGAUCCUCUCGGAUUUUAUGGCCUCGAGCCAUUCGUCAGAAUCCGGGCCCACCAUCGCUUCUCCAUAGCUCGUAGGUUCAUUGUUGUCUAGCAACAUGACUUCCAAGACAGGAUUACGUACCACUCUGAAGUAGUACGCAUCCUUGUCGUCCUAUGAGGUUUGGUAGUGACUUGAUCUGAAGUUUCAUGAUCACUAUCAUAAGCUUCCACUUCAAUUGGUGUAGGUGCCACAGGAACAACUUCCUGUGCCCUGCUACACAUUAGUUGAAGUGACGGUUCAAUGACCUCAUCAAGUCUCCACCAUCCUCCCACUCAAUUCUUUGAGAGAAACUUUUCCUCGAGAAAGGACCCGUUUCUAGAAACAAUCACUUUUGCUUCCAGAUCUAAAAGGUAUACCCAACUGUUUUGGGUAUUCUAUGAAGAUGCAUUUAUCCGCUUUGGGUUCGAGCUUAUCAGCCUGAAACUUUUUCACAUAAGCGUCGCAGCCCCAAACUUUUAAGAAACGACAUCUUAGGUUUCUCUAAACCAUAGUUCAUACGGUGUCGUCUCAACGGAAUUGCGUGGUGCCCUAUUUAAAGUGAAUGCGGCUGUCUCUAAUGCCUAACCCAUAAACGAUAGUUGUAAUUCGAUAAGAGACAUCAUGGUAUGCACCAUAUCCAAUAGGGUGCAGUUAUGAUGUUCGGACACACCAUCACACUAUGGUAUUCCAGGCGGUAUUAGUCGUGAAACAAUUUCCACAAUUUCUUAAUUGUGUGCCAAACUCGUAACUCAGAUAUUCAUCUCUAUGAUCAUAUCACAGACAUUUUAUCCUCUUGUCACGACGAUCUUCAACUUCACUCUGAAAUUACUUGAACCUUUCAAUAAUUCAGACUUGUGUUUCAUCAAGUAAAUAUUCUCAGCAUCUACUCAAAUCAUCUGUGAAGUAAGAACAUAACGAUAUCCACUGCGUGCCUCAGCACUCAUUGGACUGCACACAUCAAAUGUAUUACUUCCAACAAGUUGCUCUCUUGUUCCAUCUUACUGAAAACGAGGCCUUUCAGUCAUCUUGCCCAUGUGGUAUGAUUUGCAUGUCUCAAGUGAUUCAAAAUCAAGUGAGUCCAAAUGAUCCAUCUGUAUGGACUUUCUUCAUGCAUAUAUACUAAUAGACAUGGUUCGCAUGUCUCAAUCUUUUCAAAAACAAGUGAGUCCAAAGAUCCAUCAACAUGGAGCUUCUUCAUGCGUUUUAUACCAAUAUGACUCAAGUGGCAGUGCCACAAGUAUGUGGUACUAUCAUUACUAUCUUAUAUCUUUUGGCAUGAACAUGUGUAUCACUACGAUCGAGAUUCAAUAAACCAUUCAUUUUAGGUGCAAGACCAUUGAAGGUAUUAUUCAAAUAGACAGAGUAACCAUUAUUCUCCUUUAAUGAAUAACCGUAUUGCGAUAAACAUAAUCCAAUCAUGUCUAUGCUCAACGCAAACACCAAAUAACAAUUAUUCAGGUUUAACCCCAAUCUCGAUGGUAGAGGGAGCAUGCGAUGCUUGAUCACAUCAACCUUGGAAACACUUCCAACACAUAUCGUCAUCUCACCUUUAGCUAGUCUCCGUUUAUUCCGCAGCUUUUAUUUCGAGUUACUAACACUUAGCAAC